Molecule: long non-coding RNA, 68070 nt
Filed under: Hordeum vulgare
Lineage: Eukaryota; Viridiplantae; Streptophyta; Magnoliopsida; Poales; Poaceae
Description: long non-coding RNA (HVUL_LNC003033)
Source: RNAcentral
UUCCAUUUCAUAGGUAUACAAAUCACAUACGAAAUCAAUAUUUUGAACAGAUCACAGAACAAAUGAAAUUCGUCCAAAAAAACACUAAAUUAGUCUAUUACAAUCUUUACACUACUACAACUCAAAUAUGCCUACUACAGCCUACUAUCACAAUACAUGAUAUGCUACUCUUUGCAUAUAGGCUUCACGACUUCACGCUUGGGUUCAUAUUAGGGGUGGAGCUCCUGUAAAAGAGGAACCAGCUAAAAAAGUUACAUGCAACAUUAUUUCCUAUAGAUCAGCUUGCUGCAUAUUAAUCUAACGCUGCCUUCUACUUGCAGACUAGAAGUGUCCCUUGAGAGAAACCAGAACUUAGAAUUGAAGCAUGGAUCAUAUUCUAAACACUACAGUAUCAACACCAUGGCAGUAACAAAUUAACAGUAGCAGGACAUUAAUGGGGCACAACUUAGUUAGCUACUAAUGUUCACCAAAUUCAAAGAUUGUAUGCUCUAGCUAACAAAAAUAUAAUACCAUGCUUAGGAGCUGAGAGCGAGAAAAGUAUGUGUCGCAUAAGAGAUACCAAAAUCGAUACUGAUCAAGGAUAAAAACAUGUAGAUAUCAUAUAAUUCCCAUCACAAUCAUACAUUGAAUUCAUUAAAGGCUGCAGAUUCAUUUCUUAGACAUAGAAUUGGAAAAUCACAAGAAUAGCAGAUUCACCAAUGUGUCCAAAUAAGACAAGGAAGAGAGUGGGACAGACCAAGGACUUACGCUGUGGACAGAUCAAAGAUGCCUCCUCUUCCUCGGUGGACAGAUCAAAGAACUAACAGCUAUAGACAUACACAAGGAUCGGUGUUAGCAGAAUUAUGAUAUAUUUGUACAAGGCAAUCGCAGGUACCAAUCCAGUGCAAGAUAAUAGAGAAAAUAUGUCAAAGUUAUUCAGAUUUACUAAUGUGUUUUCCAUACUACAAAUAUUCAAGAUAAAAGAUGUGUACUGAUUCAACACUGCAAACUUAUUCCUGAAAGCGUUACUGUGUAGAUAAGUGAACUGAGCAUUGUUUUUUGUUGACUCUAGUACCUAUAAAGUUGACAGAUGAUAAACUACUGCACUUAUAUACAUCCACCUAAGAAAGGACCGAUGGAAGUCGGGAUCCCAACUUAUUCAAAUUAGAGAAGUUCAUUUAACUUGCACAAUCCAGAGAGAAAUAUGUCCAGACUUGGAACAUAAGGAAAGACACCAAUAUAAGCAAGAAUUUACAACAAAGUAGACAUUAAUUAUAACAUAGCAGCUCUAGCUAUGUUGUUGUUUGCAUAUUAAAACCAGUAGUUGACCAUAGACGCAAAUAUAUAAGUACAAUACUUGAGAUAAAAUAAAAACAGAAUCUAUAAAGCUUGGAGCAUAUGAUAUAGUAAUUGGCAUGCUGAAUUUUUGCAGAUAAGCAUCAAAUUGGAGGCAGGGAUGCCAAAUCCAUCCAAGAUUUGUAUGAUGCAUAGACAAGAUCCAGUUAUCAUGACACAAUGACCAUCCUAUAAAAUGAAAGACAUGUGCUGCUCAUUACAAUUAUUUUAAGCUGAGUGUUUGUUUAUUCUCUUUGAUUUAUGCAAGCAGAGAUGUAGGAGACAUGGAGGCAGGGAGCCAUCACAUAUGCAUGUAUGUAUGUAUGAAGCAAAACAUGAUGGCUCAUUUAAAAUUGUCAAAACAUAUUCAAUAGUAGCCUUGUUUGAGAACCCCAAUCACAAAGAACAUAAAUAUGAAAACCAAGCAUAAAUUGAAUUUUGCUUCACAAGAUACGAUAGAUUCACUUUUAAAAGCUAAAAGAAUAAUGGAAUUCAAUAAGGGGAGCAUACACUCUCUAUCAAAAGAUCCAUCUAAGGAUUCUGCACAAAAAACCAAAAAAGGUCAGCUUAUAACAGCAAUGAAAGCUAUCUAACGGCAAUCAUUGUACCAAACCAAGGAGCACAGUUACAGAAAAAAAACUACAGGAGAGAUGAAAUAGUCAAACAAGGCAUUCUAGUGUACUACACUUCAUAAAACCAUAAGAAUAAUUCAUGUUGACAGUGCAUGGUAUCAAUCAAAGUUGUACAGAUAUUUUGACAGUGCAUUGUAUCAAUCGAAGUUGUACAUAUAUUUUGAGAGAAACAACAAUAAGUCAUUGGAUUGCACAGCACAACAACACAAUAGUUUGUUUCCCUUUCAUUUGAUUUCAUCACCAAGAAAAAAUGAUCAACUGUUCGGAGGCAAGACACACUAGAGAUACAGAUUCACACAACUCAAUUUAUACUACCUGUACUUCAUCACAGACAGACCCAUGGAUACGGAUGCGAUUCCCUCCCUUUCCAUGUAGAACAGCAACGCCAAACGGAAUGCGAGCGCGUGCGCCGUCAAAAGAUCCCCUUGUUCCUACAUGCAACAAAGAGAGGAACGGAAUCAGUGCAAAGCGCCCAGCAGGUACCUCUUGACGAUCUCUGCAAGAAGUGGCUCUGGGAGAUCCUGCAUUGAGUAUAUCAGGUGUAGAACUUGUGCAGUCUCGAAGUUCAGCAGGCACUGAAGUAAAGAAUCUACUUGUGACAGCCCGAGACCGACGCCCCAGAAGAUUCCCCCUUUAUUUCCGUUUCCGUCGUGUGAUUAGUUUUAUUUGCUGGAUCUUCAUUUAGGUUGCAUCAUGGCAUCAUGGAUGGCAUCAUAUCAACUGUGUUUUGUCGGUGUUGCUUGUUGCUCCGUGUUGUUGGAUGUUAAUGCUUGUGAGUGCUUGUGAGUGUGGCGUUGUUCGUUGGCGUGAUGAGAGUGGGUGCAACAGAGCCGCUUCAAACCCUGUUGCACCGCGGACCUAAAACCUUCUCUCCCCUCCUCUCCCCUCUUAUUUCGUUUUUGUGGUUUUGCUAAAGUCUUUGUUUAAACCCCUAUUUAAAAGGGUUCGUCUUCUUUUUAAUAAAAGUCAUUUUAUUAAAUGUGGGGGCAACCUUGGGUUUUUCUUUUAUUUCUUCUCUUGUUUUAUUUUAAAACAGUCUCAUUUCCUUUUCUUCUUUAAAGAGCUUUUAUUUUACUCUUUAAAUAAAAGAGGUUGUAUUUUAUUCUCUUGUCAAAAGGGGUUUAAAUUUUAUUCUUUUAUGAAAGGGUUUUAUUUUAAUUCUUAAGAAAAAGGUUUCACUUUUAUUUCUUCAAAAAUGCCCAAAACUAUUUCUUAUAGUGGGGUAUGUUUUAAAGUAGUUAAAAAGGUAUUUUCUUUAUUUUAAUUUUUUCUGUUAAAACCUUUUCUUUGUGAGUUUCUGUUUUCUUUAAAAAAAUAACCAAGUUAAAAAAAACAAAACAAAGAGAGGGAGCCCAGCCUAGUGUUGCCACCCAAGCCCAAGGCCCAGCUGGCCAACCCUAGCGUCCCUAGCCCGGUUCCUCCUUGUUCCUCUCGUUCUCCUCCCGCAGCCGCCGAGCUCUCGUCUCCUCCCUUUGUUUCUCUGCCUAGCCUCGAUCCUCUUCGCCCUCUCCUCCCCAGGCUGCCGUGCCGUCGUGCCCGAGUUGCCCCAGGCCGAGCCGCCCCGCGCCGAUUACUCUGGUCGCCGUCUUCCGCGCCGUGCCGUGCNNNNNNNNNNNNNNNNNNNNNNNNNNNNNNNNNNNNNNNNNNNNNNNNNNNNNNNNNNNNNNNNNNNNNNNNNNNNNNNNNNNNNNNNNNNNNNNNNNNNUCGUCUCAACGGAUUUCGAUGGUGCCCUAUUUAAAGUGAAUGCAGCUGUUUCUAAUGCAUAACCCCAAAAUGAUAACGACAAAUCAGUAAGAGACAUCAUAGAUCGCACCAUCUCUAACAAAGUACGAUUACGACGUUCGGACACACCAUUACGCUGUGGUGUUCCAGGCGGUGUUAACUGCGAAACAAUUCCACAUUGUCUUAAGUGAGUACCAAACUCGAAACUCAGAUAUUCACCCCCACGAUCAGACCGUAGGAACUUGAUCUUCUUGUUACGAUGAUUUUCCACUUCACUCUGAAAUUGCUUGAACUUUUCAAAUGUUUCAGACUUGUGCUUCAUCAAGUAGACAUAACCAUAUCUACUUAAAUCGUCAGUGAAGGUGAGAAAAUAACGAUAUCCGCCGCAUGCCUCCACGCUCAUUGGACCACACACAUCGGUAUGUAUGAUUUCCAACAAGUCACUUGCACGCUCCAUUGUUCCGGAGAACGGAGUCUUAGUCAUCUUGCCCAUGAGGCAUGGUUCGCACGUGUCAAGUGAAUCAAAGUCAAGUGACUCCAAAAGUCCAUCAGCAUGGAGUUUCUUCAUGCGCUUUACACCAAUAUGACCCAAGCGGCAGUGCCACAAAAAUAUGGUGCUAUCAUUGUUUACUCUAACUCUUUUGGUCUCAAUGUUAUGUAUAUGCGUAUCGUUAUCAAGAUUCAAUAUGAACAAUCCUCUCACAUUCGGUGCAUGACCAUAAAAGAUGUUACUCAUAGAAAUAGAACAACCAUUAUUCUCAGACUUAAAAGAGUAACCGUCUCGCAAUAAACAAGAUCCAGAUAUAAUGUUCAUGCUCAACGCAGGCACUAAAAAUAACAAUGAUUUAAGUUCACCACUAAUCCCGAUGGUAGUUGAAGUGACACUGUGCCGACGGCGAUUGCAUCAACCUUGGAACCGUUUCCUACGCGCAUCGUCACUUCGUCUUUCGCCAGCCUUCGUCUAUUCCGCAGUUCCUGCUUCGAGUUGCAAAUGUGAGCAACAGAACCGGUAUCGAAUACCCAGGCACUACUACGAGAGCCGGUUAAGUACACAUCAAUAACAUGUAUAUCAAAUAUACCUGAUUUUUCUUUGCCCGCCUUCUUAUCUGCCAGAUACUUGGGGCAAUUGCGCUUCCAGUGACCCAUACCCUUGCAAUAGAAGCACUCUGUUUCAGGCUUAGGUCCAGCCUUGGGUUUCUUCGGCGGAUUGGCAACAGGCUUGCCGCUCUUCUUNNNNNNNNNNNNNNNNNNNNNNNNNNNNNNNNNNNNNNNNNNNNNNNNNNNNNNNNNNNNNNNNNNNNNNNNNNNNNNNNNNNNNNNNNNNNNNNNNNNNUCCGGAGGUUGGUGGUGAUCUAAUCUCAGCAGGGCUCCGCCCGAGCUCCGUAGAAACGCGAUCUAGAGGUAAAACCGUGGAGGUAUGUGGUCGGGCUGCCUUGAAAAAGUUGUCUCAAAUCAGCCCUAAAACCCCACUAUAUAUAGGAGGGAGGGAGGGGAGGAGGCAGCCUCAAAACCUAAAGGUUUGGCCGAAAUUGGAGGUGGAGGAGUCCUACUCCGAUCCUACUUGGAGUAGGAUUCCACCUUCCCACUUGGAAACUCUUUCCACCUUGUGUUUUUUCCUUCUCAAACCUUAUGGGCCUUAGUGGGAACUUAUUCCAGCCCACUAGGGGCUGGUUUAUCUCUUCCCAUAGCCCAUGAGACCCCUUGGGGCGUGAUACCCUCCUGAUGGUCCCCGACACCCCUCUCGGCACUCCCAGUACACUACCGAUGAGCCCGAAACUUUUCCGGUAAUGCACGAAAACCUUCCGGUAACCAAAUGAGGUCAUCCUAUAUAUCAAUCUUCGUUUCCGGACCNNNNNNNNNNNNNNNNNNNNNNNNNNNNNNNNNNNNNNNNNNNNNNNNNNNNNNNNNNNNNNNNNNNNNNNNNNNNNNNNNNNNNNNNNNNNNNNNNNNNUAGUGUAAGUUGCGGGAUCUUGUAUUACGGAACGAGUAAAGAGACUUGCCGGUAAACGAGAUUGAAAUAGCAUUGCGGAUACUGACGACCGAAUCUCGGGCAAGUAACAUACCGAAGGACAAAGGGAAUGACAUACGGGAUUAUAUGAAUCCUUGGCACUUAGGUUCAAACGAUAAGAUCUUCGUAGAAUAUGUAGGAUCCAAUAUGGGCAUCCAGGUCCCGCUAUUGGAUAUUGACCGAGGAGUCUCUCGGGUCAUGUCUACAUAGUUCUCGAACCCGCAGGGUCUGCACACUUAAGGUUCGACGUUGUNGGAGUCCCGGUUGAGAUCAUGGACGUCACGAGGGUUUCCGGAAUGGUCCGGAAACGAAGAUUGAUAUAUAGGAUGACCUCAUUUGAUUACCGGAAGGUUUUCGGAGUUACCGGGAAUGUACCGGGAAUGACGAAUGGGUUCCAGGAGUUCACCGGGGGGCAACCCACCCAGGGGAAGCCCAUAGGCCUUGGGGGUGGCGCACCAGCCCUUAGUGGGCUGGUGGGACAGCCCAAGAAGGCCCUAUGUGUUGGGAAACGUAGCAUAAAUUCAAAAAAAUUCCUACGCAUGUUCAGAUCUUCCUAUGGAGAGACCAGCAACGAGAGAGGGGUAAGAGCAUCUUCGUACCUUUGAAGAUCGGUAAGCGGAAGCGUUGCUAGAACGCGGUUGAUGGAGUCGUACUCGCAGCGAUUCCGAUCUAGUGCCGAACAACGGCACCUCCGCGUUCAACACACGUGCAGCCCGGUGACGUCUCCCGCACCUUGAUCCAGCAAGGAGGAGGGAGAGGUUGGGGAAGAAGACCAGCAACACGACGGCGUGGUGUUGGUGGAGAGACGAGGUCUCCCGGCAGGGCUUCGCCAAGCGCCGGCAGAGAGGAGGAGGAAGAAGUGCAGGGCUGCGCCGAGGGAGAGGGAAAACUGUGUCNNNNNNNNNNNNNNNNNNNNNNNNNNNNNNNNNNNNNNNNNNNNNNNNNNNNNNNNNNNNNNNNNNNNNNNNNNNNNNNNNNNNNNNNNNNNNNNNNNNNGAGUUAUAUGGUUGGUUACCGAAUGUUGUUCGGAGUCCCGGAUGAGAUCACGGACGUCACGAGGGUUUCCAGAAUGGUCCUGAAACAAAGAUUGAUAUAUUGGAUGACCUCAUUUGAUUACCGAAAGGUUUUCAGAGUUACCGAGAAUGACGACUGGGUUCCGGGAGUUCACCGGGGGGGGGCAACCCACCCAGGGGAAGCCCAUAGGCCUUGGGAGUGGUGCACCAGCCCUUAGUGGGCUGGUGGGACAGCCCAAGAAGGCCCUAUGCGCCAUAGGAAGAAAAUCAAAGAGAAAAGGAAAAAAAGAGGAGGUGGCAAAAGGGGGAAGGACUCCUCCUUCCAAACCUAGUUGGACUCGGUUUGGAAGGGGAGGGUUCCCCCCUUAGGCUCGGCUAACCCCCUUGGGAGUCCUUGGACCCCAAGGCAAGGCUCCCCCUCCUCCCCCUAUAUAUACGGAGGUUUUAGGGCUGAUUUGACACAACUUUGCCACGGCAGCCCGACCACAUACCUCCACGGUUUUACCUCUAGAUCGCGUUUCUGCGGAGCUCAGGCAGAGCCCUGCUGAGAUUAGAUCACCACCAACCUCCGGAGCGCCGUCACGCUGCCGGAGAACUCAUCUACCUCUCCCUCUCUCUUGCUCGAUCAAGAAGGCCGAGAUCAUCGUCGAGAUGUACGUGUGCUGAACGCGGAGGUGCCGUCCGUUCGGCACUAGAUCGUGGGACUGAUCGUGGGACGGUUCGCGGGGCGGAUCGAGGGACGUGAGGACGUUCCACUACAUCAGCCGUGUUCACUAACGCUUCUGUUGUGAGGUCUACAAGGGUACGUAGAUCGAACAUUCCCUCUCGUAGAUGGACAUCACCGUGAUAGGUCUUCGUGCGCGUAGGAAAUUUUUUGUUUCCCAUGCGACGUUCCCCAACAGUAUGACCCGCCAAGGACUCUUGGUGGCUCACCGACGACUCAGCAGUGACGUGGUGGGCGACUCAUACUUGACCCUGAUACGUCUCCAACGUAUCUAUAAUUUUUGAUGGUUCCAUGCUAUUAUCUUGUCAAACUUUGGAUGUUUUGGGACUAACUUAUUAACUCAGUGCCAAGUGCGAGUUCCUGUUUUUACGUGUUUUUGACCCUUUUCAUAGGCGAAUAUUAAACGGAGUCCAAACGGAAUAAAACCUCUGAAAAGAUUUUUUCCGGAAAAGAAGAUACGGAGGGAGCUUGAGAACCAAGGAAGAGGGCACAAGGGGAGGCCACAAGCCCCCUAGGCGCGGCCAGGGGGCCGCGCCUAGUAGGCUUGUGGGCCCCUGUAUCUCCUCUGCCCUACUUCUUCCGCCUAUAAAUCCUCGAAAAAUCCAAAACCACGGGAGAGAUCCACGAAAAUAAUUUUCCGCCGCCGCAAGCUUCUGUCUCCGCAAGAUCCCAUCUGGGGCACAUUCUGGUGCCCUGCCGGAGGGGGGAUUUGGAUACGGAGGGCUUCUUCAUCAACACCAUUGCCACUCCGAUGAUGCGUGAGUAGUUCACCAAAGACCUUUGGGUCCAUAGCUAGUAGCUAGAUGGCUUCUUCUCUCUCUUGGAUCUUCAAUACAAAGUUCUCCAUGAUCUUCAUAGAUAUCUAUCCGAUGUAAUCUUCUUUUGCGGUGUGUUUGUCGAGAUCCGAUGAAUUGUGGAUAUAUGAUCAGAUUAUCUAUGAAUCUUAUUUGAGUUUCUUCUGAUCUCUUAUAUGCAUGAUUUCAUAUCCUUGUAAUUCUCUUCGAGUUGUGGGUUUUGUUUGGCCAACUUGAUCUAUGAUUCUUGCAAUGGGAGAAGUGCUUGGUUUUGGGUUCAUACCGUGCGGUGACCUCACCCAGUGACAAAAGGGGUAGCGAGGCACCCAUCGUGUUGUUGCCAUCAUGGGUAAAAAGAUGGGGUUUAUAUCUAUUGCAUGAAUUUAUCCCUCUACAUCAUGUCAUCUUGCUUAAGGCGUUACUCUGUUUGUCAUGAACUCAAUGCACUAGAUGCAUGCUAUAUAGCGGUUGAUGUGUGGAGUAAUAGUAGUAGAUGCAGAAAGUAUCGGUCUACUUGUCUCGGACGUGAUGCCUAUAUGUAUGAUCAUUGCCUUAGAUAUCGUCAUGACUUUGCGCGGUUCUAUCAAUUGCUCGACAGUAAUUCGUUCACCCACCGUAAUAUUUGCUAUUUUGGGAGAAGCCUCUAGUGAACACUAUGGCCCCGGGGUCUACUUCACAUCAUAUUUUCAGCCCUACACUUUUACUCUGUUGCACUUUCCGCCUUCAGAUCUCACCUUGCAAUCAAUCGUGAAGGGAUUGACAACCCCUUUGUAGCGUUGGGUGCAAGUUUGCUGUUUUUGCGCAGGUACAUUGGUGCCUCAUCUUGAUACUCCUACUGGAUUGAUACCUUGGUUCUCAAAAUGAGGGAAAUACUUACUGCUACUGUGCUGCAUCACCCUUUCCUCUUCAAGGGAAAAAACCAACGCAAGCUCAAGAGGUAGCAAGAAUAGUUUCUGGCGCCGUUGCCGGGGAGCAUCAAGUGAAGCUUAUCCAAGUAAGUGUCGCAAACUCAUCUCUUGCAUUUACUUUUUUCCUCUCAUUUUCCUCUCCCCCACUUCUGAAAAACAAAAAUUUACAAAAAUAUUUGCCUUUUUCGUUCGCCCUUUGCUUUCGCUUGUUUUGUGUUCGCUUGUGCGCUUGUCUGCCUGAUAAGACCUGUAUGGCCCAACCAAAGGAUUAUGAUGCUUACUACACAAGGUUGGAAGAGAUUGAAACUAGUGUUAAAGGCUUCAUGUCUACACAGUUUGAUUAUAAUAGUUACUUCCGUAGAGAACUAAGGGAGCAAAAUUCUUUUAUGGCUUUUAUGAAUAAAGAACUUGAUGAUAUGGCCAAAGAAUUCCUUGCGCUAAAUUCUCAGUUUGCUCGUCUUCAAAAAUUGGUAGGCCAGAUUUCUGAUAAACAGGCUACCUUAGUCAAUAAAAUAGCUGCUAAACCUGAAAUAUGUGAUGAGAAUCACGAGAUCUUAAAGUGCUUGGUGUGACUCCCAUUGAAUCCUUGUUUUCUAGUGUCAAACCUAAUGAUGAUGGGGCUGGAUAUUAAUCCAUCUUGGUUGAAAAACGCCCCAAUGAUUCUGAUUCUAUCUAUCUUGAUACUAAAAGCAUUGAAAGUGGAGUAGAGUAUAUCAAAACUUUGAGUAGUAAUGAAACUACUACUUUGGAUUUCAAGGAAUUCAAUUAUGAUAGUUGCUCUUUGAUUGAAUGUAUUUGUUUGAUGCAAUCCAUGCUAAACUCUCCACACGCUUAUAGCCAAAACAAGGCCUUUAUCAAUCAUAUCGUCGAUGCUAUGAUGAAACCUCUUGAAGAGAAACUUGAAUUGGAAGUUUCUAUUCCUGGAAAACUUCAUGAUGAGUGGGAACCUACUAUCAAUAUCAAGAUCGAAAACUAUGAAUGCAAUGCUUUGUGUGAUUUGGGUGCUAGUGUUUUCGUGAUUCCAAAGUCUUUAUGUGAUGUUCUAGGCUUUAAUGAAAUUGAUGAGAGCUCUCCUAAUUUGCAUCUUGCGGAUUCUACUGUUAAGAAACCUAUGGGAAGGAUCAAUGAUGUUCUUAUUAUUGCAAAUAGGAACUAUGUACCCGUAGAUUUCAUUGUGCUUGAUAUUGAUUGCAAUCCUACAUGUCCUGUCAUUCUUGGUAGACCUUUCCUAAGGACUAUUGGUGCUGUUAUCGAUAUGAAGGAAGGGAAUAUUAGAUAGGGAACAUGGAAUAUUUUCCUAGAAAGGAAAUAAGAUUGCCUUAUGAAUCCAUGAUGAGGGCUACUUAUGGUUUGAGUACCAAAGAUGACGAUACAUGAUUCUAUCACCUUAUGCCUAGCUAAGGGCGUUAAACAAUAGAGCUUGUUGGGAGCCAACCCAAUGAAUUUAUCUUUGCUUUCUUCUUUCUGUUUUAUUGCGUCCACACCAUCAUAAUUAUGUUAUGAUUGUGUCUUUUGUGUUUCUUUUUGUGUUGGAGCCAAGUAAAACCUUUAUGACUAGUUUGGUGAUGGUCGUUUGAUCAUGCUGGAAAAAGAAAGAAACUUUUCGCUCACGAAAUUAUUUUUCAUUUUUAUCCAGAAAGAGCACCGAUGACUUUCUGAUUAGAAUAGGGCUACACCAAGGGUCAGCUUUGAGCCCUUAUCUUUUUGAUUUGGUGAUGGAUGAGGUCACAAGGGAUAUACAAGGAGAUAUCCCAUGGUGUAUGCUCUUUGCGGAUGAUGUGGUGCUAGUCGAUGAUAGCCGAACGGGGGUUAAUAGAAAGUUAGAGUUAUGGAGGCGGACUCUAGAAUCAAAAGGUUUUAGGCUUAGUAGAACUAAAACUGAAUACAUGAGGUGCAGUUUUAGUGCUACUAGGCACGAGGAUGGAGAGGUUAGCCUUGGUGGGCAGGUGGUACCGGAGAGAGACACGUUUCGAUAUUUGGGGUCCAUGUUGCAGAAGGAUGGCAAUAUCGAUGAAGACGUGGGCCACCGAAUCAAGGCUGGGUGGAUGAAGUGGCGCCAAGCUUCUGACGUACUCUGUGACAAGAGAGUGCCACAAAAGCUAAAAGGCAGGUUUUAUAGGACAACUAUCUGACCUGCGAUGUUGUAUGGCGCGGAGUGUUGGCCAACCAAGAGACGACAUAUCCAACAGUUAGGUGUAGCAGAGAUGCGCAUGUUGAGAUGGAUAUGUGGCCACACAAGGAAGGAUCGGGUACGGAAUGACGAUAUACGAGAGAGACUUGGGGUAGCACGGAUUGAAGAGAAGCUGGUCCAGCAUCGUCUCAGAUGGUUUGGACAUAUUCAACGGAGGCCAUCGGAAGCGCCGGUGCAUAGCAGACGGAUAAAUCGUGCUGAGAAUGUUAAGAGGGGUCGUGGUAGACCAAACUUGACAUAGGAGGAGUCCGUUAAGAGAGACCUUAAGGUUUGGAAUAUUGACAAAGACUUAGCCAUGGACAGGGGUGCGUGGAAGUUAGCUAUCCACGUUCCAGAGCCAUGACUUGGUUUCGAGAUCUUAUGGGUUUCAACUCUAGCCUACCCCCCAACUUGUUUGGGACUGAAAGGCUUGGUUGUUGUUGUUGAUGAUGAUGAUCUAGAAAGAGCUUUUGAGUUGAUUCUUUUUUGUGCUGGUUGAUAUGCCAAUUCCCCAAACGGUCGUAAUGUUUCAGAAUUUUUGAGAUACCAGAAGUAUACUAAGUAUACAGAUUCUACAGAGUGGUCUGUUUUUGACAGAUUCUAUUUUUGUUGUGUUGAUUGCUUAUUUUGAUGAAACUAUGGAUAGUAUCGGGGGGUAUUGGCCAUGGAAAAGUGAGAAUACAGUAAUCUAACACCAAUAUAAAUAGAAAUCAAGUUUGCUACAGUACCUCAAGAGGUGGUAGUUUGUUUUCUUGUGCUAAUGAUAUCACGAGUUUCUGUUUAAGUUUUCUGUUGUGAAGUUUUCAAGUUUUGGGUGAUGUUCUCAUGGACAAAGGGAUAAAGAGUGGAAAGAUCUCAAGCUUGGGGAUGCCCAAGGCAUCCCAAGCCAAAUUCAAGGACACCAAAAAGCCUAAGCUUGGGGAUGCCCCGGGAAGGCAUCCCCUCUUUCGUCUUCAAUCCAUCGGUAACAUUACUCGGAGCUAUAUUUUUAUUCACCACAUGAUAUGUGUUUUGCUUGGAGCGUCGUGUAUUAUAGGAGUCUUUUCUUUUUGUUGUGUCACAAUCAUCCUUGCUAUACACCUUUUGAGAAAGACAUGCACUCAUCAUGAAUUUGCUAGAAUACAGCUUCGCUUAUAUCUUUUGAGUUAGGCAAUUUAGCUCGCAUGUGCUUCACUUAUAUCUUUUGAGCUAGAUUAAUUUGGUCUAAGUGAUUGACUUAGAUCUUUUAGAGCAUGAUGGUGUCAUAUUUUGGAGAAAUAAGAACUCUUGAUCUUCACUUAUAUCUUUUUGAGAGUGCUCUCUCUGAGUAACUUGGUAGUUGGCUUAUGCUAUGAAAGUAGUCCCAAAGGUGAUAGGCACCCAAAGAGGAUACAAUAAAACUUCCAUAUUCAUGCGCAUUGAUUAGAAAGAGAAGUUUGAUUCCUCUCAAAUAGUUUUGAGACAUGGAUUUGGUAAUAUUAAGAGUUAUGUUAGUAGGGUGUUGUGUAUCUAGAAAUACUUGUGUUAAAGUUAGUGAUUCCCGUAACAUGCACGUAUGGUGAACCGCUAUGUUAGGAAGUCGGAGCAUAAUUGAUUUAUUGAUUGUCAUCCUUUGUGUUGCGGUCGGGAUCGCGCGAUGGUUAACACCUAGCAACCCUUCCCCUAGGAGUAUGCGUUUAGCACUUUGUUUCGAUUACUAAUAAAAACUUUCGCAAUAAGUAUGUGAGUUCUUCAUGACUAAUGUGAGUCCAUGGUAUAGAUGCGUUUUCACCUUCCACCAAUGCUAGCCUCUCUAGUGCCGGGCAACUUUCGCCGGUACACAAAACCACCAUAUACCUUCCUCAAAACAGCCACCAUACCUACCUAUUAUGGCAUUUUCAUAGCCAUUCCGAGAUAUAUUGCCAUGCAACUCCCACCGUUCCCUCUCAUGAUAUGUGUCGUCACUUUCAUAUUGCCAUUACAUGAUUGUAAGAUAGCUAGCGAGAUGUUUCAACGCCAUAUGCCAAGCUAGAUCGUUGCACAUCCCGGUACACUGCUGGAGGCAUUUCCUAUAGAGUCCUCAUCGUUCUAAGCAUUGAGCUGUGAGUAAAUUAAAGUGUGAUGAUCAUCAUUAUUAGAGCAUUGUCCCAUGUGAGGAAAUAAAUAAAUAAAGAGGCCAAAGUUGCCCACACAAAAGAGAGAGAGAGAUAUAUGGAAAGAGGCCAAAGUGCCCAAACAAAAAAAAGAGAAAAAGAGAGAAGGGACAAUGCUAUUAUCUUUUUCCACACUUGUGCUUCAUAAUAGCACCAUGUUCUUCAUGAUUGAGAGUCUCUUGUCUUGUCACCACCAUAUGCUAGUGGGAAUCUUCAAUAUAUAACUUGGCUCGUAUAUUCUAAUGAUGGGCUUCCUCAAAAUUUCCCUAGGUCUUCGUGAGGAAGCAAGUUGGAUGCGCACCCACUAGUUCUUCUUUUUGAGCUUUCACAUACUUAUAGCUCUAAGUGCAUCCAUUGCAUGGUAAUCCCUACUAUUUCACAUUGAUAUCUAUUGAUGGGCUUAUCCAUAGCCCUUAGAUACACCGAGUCGAUGUGACCAUCUCCUCCUUUUUGUCUCACAACCUCCACCACACUCUAUUCCACCUAUAGUGCUAUAUCCAUGGCUCACGCUCAUGUAUUGCAUGAGAGUUGAAAAAGGUUUGAGAAAGUAAGAGUGCAAAAAUAAUUACUUGGCCAAUACCGGGGUUGUGCGUGAUUUAAAUUAGUUGUGUGGGGACGAUGGAGCAUAGCCAGACUAUUUGAUUUUGUAGGGAUAAUUUUCUUUGGCCUUGUUAUUUCGAAAGUUCAUGAUUACCUUGCUAGUUUGCUUGAAGUAUUAUUGUAUUCAUGUCAAUAGAAAACUAUUGUUUUGAAUCUUACGGAUCUGAACAUUCAUGUCACAUGAAAGAAGUUACAAAGGACAAAUAUGCUAGGUAGCAUUCCACAUCAAAAAUCCAGUCUUUAUCACUUCCCUACUCGAGGACGAGCAAGAGUUAAGCUUGGGGAUGCUUGAUACGUCUCCAACGUAUCUAUAAUUUUUGAUGGUUCCAUGCUAUUAUCUUGUCAAACUUUGGAUGUUUUGUAUGCCUUUUAUAUCUUUUUUGGGACUAACUUAUUAACUCAGUGCCAAGUGUGAGUUCUUGUUUUUUCCGUGUUUUUGACCCUUUUGAGAGGAGAAUAUUAAACAGAGCCAAACAGAAUAAAACCUCCGAAAAGAAUUUUUUUCCGGAACAGAAGAUACGCACGGAGCUAGCUUGAGAACCAAGGCAGAGGGCACAAGGGGAGACCACAAGCCCCCUAGGCGCAGCCGUGCCUAGCAGGCUUGUGGGCCCACGGGGGGGGGGGGGGGGUCUUUCGCCUAUAAAUCCCCGAAAAAUCGAAAACCACAGGAGAGAUCCACGAAAAUAAUUUUCCGCUGCCGCAAGCUUCUGUCUCCGCAAGAUCCCAUCUGGGGCACGUUCUGGUGCCCUGCCGGAGGGGGGAUUCGGAUAUGGAGGGCUUCUUCAACAAGACCAUUGCCUCUCCGAUGAUGUGUGAGUAGUUCACCAUAGACCUUCGGGUCCAUAGCUAGUAGCUAGAUGGCUUCUACUCUCUCUUGGAUCUUCAAUACAAAGUUCUCCAUGGUCUUCAUGAAGAUCUAUCCAAUGUAAUCUUCUUUUGCGGUGUGUUUGUCGAGAUCCGAUGAAUUGUGGAUUUAUGAUCAGAUUAUCUAUGAAUCUUAUUUGAGUUUCUUCUGAUCUCUUAUAUGCAUGAUUUCAUAUCCUUGUAAUUCUCUUCGAGCAUGUGGGUUUUGUUUGGCCAACUUGAUCUAUGAUUCUUGCAAUGGGAGAAGUGCUUGGUUUUGGGUUCGUACCGUGCGGUGACCCCACUCAGUGACAGAAGGGGUAGCGAGGCACGCAUCAUGUUGUUGCCAUAAAGGGUAAAAAGAUGGUUUAUAUCUAUUGCAUUAAUUUAUCCCUCUACAUCAUGUCAUCUUGCUUAAGGCGUUACUCUGUUUGUCAUGAACUCAAUACACUAGAUGCAUGCUGGAUAGCGGUCGAUGUGUGGAGUAAUAGUAGUAGAUAGAGAAAGUAUCGGUCUAUUUGUAUCGAACGUGAUGCCUAUAUGUAUGAUCAUUGCCUUAGAUAUCGUCAUGACUUUACGCGGUUCUAUCAAUUGCUCGACAGUAAUUCGUUCACCCACCGUAAUAUUUUCUAUUUUGAGAGAAGCCUCUAGUGAACACUAUGGCCCCCGGGUCUACUUCACGUCAUAUUUCCAGCCCUACACUUUUACUCUGUUGCACUUUCCGCCUUCAGAUCUCACCUUGCAAUCAAUCGUGAAGGGAUUGACAACCCCUUGGUAGCGUUGGGUGCAAGUUUGCUGUUUUCGCGCAAGUACAUUGGUGCCUCAUCUUGAUACUCCUACUGGAUUGAUACCUUGGUUCUCAAACUGAGGGAAAUACUUACUGCUACUGUGUUGCAUCACCCUUUCCUCUUCAAGGGAAAAAACCAACGCAAGCUCAAGAGGUAGCAGACCCCACAGGAGACUCAGACAAAUGAUGAAGGGCCAAGGCCCGACGUGCACCCUCGCAUAAGGCGACUCAUAGAGAGGCCAGGAGGGGCGACUCACAAGAGAAUGCCCAAGAAGAGGAAAGACUCCCACAAGAAGGAAACAAGACCUGGAUUAGGAUUCAAGAGAGACUAGUCCUAUUCCUACUCCUAGUAGGACUCUACAUGUAAAACUACCCCUUCCACCUAUAUAAGGAGGGGUAAGGCGCCCCAAGAGGGAAAAAGAAGAUACAUAACUUAGGUCUAGACAAGACAAAUCAUGAGAUAGACAGAUUAGACACCCACGAGAUUAGAGGUGCGAGUCUGCACCCUUGUAAUCGAGAUCAUCAUCUUCAUCAAUGGAACACAAGCAGGACGUAGGCUUUUACCUCCAUCGGAGGGGCCGAACCUGGGUAAACUCGCGUCUCUCGAUUCCGACCAACCCCUCUCAAGCCGCCACAUGGUUGCGAUGGCCUCACACCUAAAGUCCUUGCACGUGGACAUCUACCGUGACAAAACCACGACACGGACUGUGCACCGUUGCGUCAAUUCGUCGUUUCGAGACACCACAUGAUGAUCAGGUGUAAUAGACUCAACGUUCACAUACAAUGGGUGCAAAACACUUGCACACGCGGAACACUCAGGUUAAUCUUGACGAGCCUAGCAUGUAUAGACAUGGCCUCGGAACACAGGAUACCGAAAGGUCGAGCAUGACUCUUAUAGUGGAUAUGAUCAACAUGGAGAUGUUCGCCAUUGAAGCUAAACUCAACUCACCUGAUGAUGGAACUUGAGUUAGUGAAUUUGGAUCAUGUACCACUCGAAUGACUAGAGCGAUACCAAUUUGAGUGGGAUUCUUAAGUAAUAUGAUUAAUUGAACUCAUUAUCAUGAACAUAGUUAUUUGCAAAUUAUGUUGUAGCUUGCACUGUAGCUCUACUGUUUUUGAUAUCUUCCUAGAGAAAACUUAGUUGAAAGAUGAUAGUAGCAAUUAUGCGGACUAGAUCCGUAAACCGAGGAUUGUCCUCAUUGCUGCGCAGAAGGCUUAUGUCCUUAAUGCAUCGCUCGGUGUGCUGAACCCUGAGCGUCGUUUGUGGAUGUUACGAACAUCUGACAUACACGUUUUUGAUGACUGCGUAAUAGUUGAGUGUGUAAUGCUUAACGACUUAGAAUUGGGCGCCGAAGACGUUUUGAACGUCACAGAACAUAUGAGAUGUUCCAAAAGCUAACAUUGGGAUUUCAGGUAUGUGCCCGUGUUGAGAGGUAUGAGACCUCCGACAAGAUUCUUGGCCUGCGAAGUAAGGGAGUAAAGCUCAAUCGUUGAGAAAUUGCUCAGAUUGUCUGAGUAGUACAAUCGCUUGAAUCGAGUGGGAGUUGAUCUUCCAGAUAAGAUAAUGAUUGACAUAUUUCUCCAAAGUCACUACCACCAAGCUACAGAGCUUCAUGAUGAACUAUAACAUAUAAGGAGUUGAUAUGAUGAUACUUGAGCUAUUCGCGAUGUUUGACACCCGAAAGUAGAAAUCAAGUAGGAGCAUCAAUUGUGAUGGUUAGUACAACCACUAGUUUCAAGAAGGGCAAGGGCAAGAAGGAAUACUUCAUGAAACGACAAACCUGUUGCUGCUCUAGGGAAGAAACCCAAGGUUGAACCCAAACCCGAGACUAAGUGCUUCUGUUAUGAGGGGAACGGUCACUGAAGCGGAACUACCCUAGAUACUUGGUAGAUGAGAAGGCUGGCAAAGUCGACAAAGUAUAUUGGAUAUACGUGAUAUUGAUGUGUACCUUACUAGUACUCCUAGUAGCACCAAGGUAUUAGAUAUCGGUUCAGUUGGUAAGUGUUAGUAACUCGAAAUUAUAGCUAUGGAUUAAAAGGAUACUAGUAAGGGUGAGGUGACGGUGUGGGUUGGAAGUAAUUCGAAGGUUGACGUGAUCAACAUCACACGCUCCCUCUACCUUCGGGAUUAGUGUUAAACCUAAAUAUUGACUGAUGUUUGUGUUGAGCGCGAACAUGGUUGGAUCAUGUUUAUUGCAAUACAAUUAUUCAUUUAAAGAGAAUAAUGGUUACUCUGCUUACUUGAAUAAAACCUUCAAUGGUCAUGCAGCUAAUAUGAAUGGUUUAUUGAAUCUCGAUCAUAGUGAUACACAUGUUCAUUGUUGCCAAAAGAUACAAAGUAGUAAUGAUAGCACCAGUUACUUGUGGCACUGCCGCUUGAGUCAUAUUGGGAUAAAACGCAUGAAGAAGCUCAAUGUUGAUGGAUCUUUGGACUCACUCGUUUUUGAAUCGUUUGAGACGUGCGAACCAUGCCUAUUGGUGUAAACGCAUGAAGAAACUCCAUGCAGAUGGAUUGUUUAGACUCACUUGAUUUUGAAUCACUUGAGACAUGAAAAUCAUGCCACUCGGGCAAGAUGACAGAAGGCCCCGUCUUCCAGUGAGAUGGAACAAGAAAGUAACUUAUUGGACGUAAUACAUUUUUUAUGUAUGCAUUCCAAUGAGUGCGGAGGCACGCAGUGGAUAUCAUUAUGUACUUACUUCACACAUGAUUUGAGUAGAUACUAGUAUGUUUACUUCAUGAAACACAAGUCUGUAUUAUUGAAAGGUUCAAGUAAUUUUAGAGUGAAGUUGAAAAUCACCGUGACAAGAGGAUGAAAUGUCUACGAUAUGAUUGUAGAGAUGAAUUUCUGAGUUGCGAGUUUGGUACACAUUUAAGACAAUGUGGAAAUAGUUUCACAACUCAUGCCACCUGGAACACCAUUGUGUGAUGGUGUGUACGAACGUCGUAGCUGCACCCUAUUGGAUAUGGUGCAUACUAUGAUGUCUCUUAUUGAAUUACCUCUAUUUUUUUUGGGUUAGGCAUUAGAGAAAACCGCAUUCACUUUAAAUAGGGCACCACGUAAUUCCUUCGAGAUGACACCGUAUGAACUAUGGUUUAGAGAAACCUAAGUUGUCUUUUCUUAAAAGUUUGGGGUUGCGACGCUUAUGUGAAAAAAUUUCAACCUGAUAAGCUCGAACCCAAAGCGGAUAAAUUAAUGCAUCUUCAUAGGACACCCAAAAACUAGGGUAUACCUCCUAUCUCAGAUCCGGAAGCAAAUUGUUUGUUUCUAGAAACGGGUCCUUUCUCGAGAAAAGGUUUCUCUCAAAAGAAUUGAGUGGGAGGAUGGUGGAACCUGAUGAGGUUACUGAACCGUCACUUCAACCAGUGUGCAGAAGGGCGUAGGAGGUUGUUCCUGUGGUGCCUACACCAAUUGAAGUGGAAAUCUCAUGAUGGUGAUCAUGAAGCUUCAGAUCAAGUUACUACCAAACCUCGUAGGUCGACAAGGAAACGUCCUGCUCUAGAGUGGUACGAUAAUCCUAUCUUGGAGGUCAUGUUUCUGGAUAACAAUGAACCUAUGAGCUAUGGAGAAGCGAUGGUGGGCCUGGAUUCCAACGAAUGGCCGAAGGUCAUGAAAUCUGAGGGAGGAUAUAUGUGUGAAAACAAAGUGUAGACUAUGGAAGAACUACUUGAUGGUCAUAAGGCUGUUGGGUACAGAUGGAUUUUUAGAAGGAAGACAGACGAUGAUGGUAAGUGUCACCAUUAAGAAAGCUCGACUUGUCGCAAAGAUGUUUCCGACAAGUUCAAGGAGUUGAUUAUGAUGAGACUUUGUCACUCGUAGCGAUGCUAAGAGUCUUUUGGAAUUAUGUUAGCAGUUGGUGCAUUAUUUAUGAAAUCUUGCAAUAAGGAUGUCAAAAUAUUGUUUCCUUGAUGGUUUACUUGAGGAAAGGUUGUAUGUGAUACAACUAGAAGGGUUUUGUCAAUCCUAAGGAUGCUAACAAGUAUGCAAGCUUCAGCGAUCCUUCUAUGGACUGGAGCAAGCAUCUCGGAGUUGAAAUAUACACUUUGACGAGAUGAUCAAAACUUUUGGGUUUCUACAAGGUUUAUGACAAACUUGUAUUUCCAAGAAAGUGAGUGGGAGCACUAUAGUAUUUCUGAUGAGUAUAUGUAGUUGACAUAUUAUUGAUCGGAAAUGAUGUAGAAUUUCUGAAAAGCAUAUAGGGUUGUUUGAAAAGUGUUUUUCAAAGAAAAACCUGAAUUGAGCUACUUGAACAUUGAGCAUCCAGAUCUAUAGAGAUAGAUCAAAACGCUUAAUAGAACUUUCAAAUGAAUACAUACCGUGACAAGAUUUUUAAGGAGUUCAAAAUAGAUCAGCCAAAGAAGGAGUUAUUGACUGUAUUGUAAGUUGUGUAUUUGAGUAAGAAUCAAAACCCGACCACGACAGAAGAAAGAGAAAGGACGAAGGUCGUCCCUAUGCCUUAGCCGUAUGCUCUAAAGUAUGCCAUGCUGUGUAUAGCAUCUGAAGUGUGCCUUGCCAUGAGUAAGUCAAGGGGUACAAGAGUGAUCCAGGAAUGGAUCACUAGACAACGGUCAAAGUUAUCCUUAGUAACUUGUGGACUAAGGAAUUUUUCUCAAUUAUGGAGGUGGUAAAAGAGUUCGUCAUAAAGGGUUAUGUCGAUGCAAGCUUUGACACUAAUCCGAAUGACUCUCAGUAGUAAAUCAGAUUCGUACAGUGGAGCAGUCAUUUGGAAUAGUUCCAAAUGGCGCGUGGUAGCAGCAUCUAUAGGUUGAAAUAGAGAUUUAUAAAGCACACACGGAUCUAAAAGGUUCAGACCCUUGACUAAAAAGCUCUCUCACAAGAAAGACAUGAUCAAACCCCACUGUAUGGGUGUUUGUUUCGUUGCAAUCACAUUGUGGUGUGAACUAGAUUAUUGACUCUAGUGCAAGUGGGAGAUUAUUGGAAAUAUGUCCUAGAGGCAAUAAUAAAUUAGUUAUUAUUAUAUUUCCUUGUUCAUGUUAGUUGUUUAUUAUCCAUGCUAGAAUUGUAUUGAAUGAGAACUCAAAUACAUGUGUGGAUACAUAGACAAAACACUGUCCCUAGUGAGCCUCUAGUUGAUUAGCUCGUUGAUCAAAGAUGGUCAAGGUUUCCUGGACAUAUACAUGAGCUGUCGUUUGAUAACGGGAUCACAUCAUUAGGAGAAUGAUGUGAUGGACAAGACCCAAACUACAAAUGUAGCAUAUGAUCAUGUCAGUUUAUUGCUACUGUUUUCUCCAUGUCAAUGUAUGUGUUCCUAUGACCACUAGAAGAAAUAUGUCAACUAACGACCUUCUCUCACUGACACUCGCAGAAUUGGUCGUAAAUCUACGACCAUUUGAGACCAAUUGGUCGUAAGCUGUCCCGAGGGGUCCUAACCCCGAAAACUAACGACCUUUUUCAUCAGAAAGGUCGUAACUUCCUUAAUGGAAAAGGUUGUAAAGCAGAUAGCCCUGUUUCGCUGCCUAAUUUGUAGCUAGUUACGACCAAUAUAGAUGGUCAUAGCUAUGACUAGGUGCCACAUCAUCAGUUUUGCCUACGUGUCGUGUUCAUGUGUUAUUUUUUGCCUAGUUUGUGAAGCAACCUACUAUUCUGUCAUUCCAAAAAUUCUCGAAAAAUUCUCAUAAAUACUUUGGAUCAUAUAUUUCUCAAAUAUGUGAAAACCCUUCCUUCCAUAGUUCGAAAGUAAUUCAGCAAUAUUCAUUUUCCUAUUCUGUUCAGAAUAGCACUUUGUGAAGGAAGUGUUAUUUCUAUUUCUUUGAUGACCCUCAAAUUUUUUGGGCACUCUUUCCUAUCCAAAUCAUUGCCUCAUGAAAACUUUGGUAACCAUUUUCCUAGUAAAUCUUUCUCAGCAAAUUUCCAAAGUUUGUGUUCAACUAACAACUUUGUGAAGGAAGUACUAGAUAGGAAUAUCCUGAUGAGUUGAAUUUUUUUCCACAUCUUCUAUGUGCCCAAAACAUAGCUCUCCACAAAUUUUAGCCCCAUCUAACAAUCCAUGUGAGCCCAGUUUCAGUUACCAUGUUUUGUCCAGAUUGACACAUUGUGAAGGAAGUGUCACUUUGGCAUGUCCAAAUGGUAUAAUUUUUUUACAGUGCCUUCAUAUGCCCUAAUUAACAUCAUACACCAAAUUUCAUCUCAAUCCAUUGAUUCAUUUGAUCCCAGCUUCAACAUCCAUAUUUCUGCACAGUGUGGUACUUUGCAAAGCAAGUGUCACCUAGGUUCGUCCAUAUGAGCUAAAAUUUUGGCAAGAGAGUCUCCUUAGUAGAUGAUCGUCCUCAGCCAAAAUUUAGGCCCAUUGUCUAUGUGCAUUACCCGCACCGCUAAUCAAACACUUGGCUGCUAAUUCAUGUUUCAGCUUACUUCGGUCUCCUCGUGAGAUUCUUCUAUCGUAUUCUUCUUCCUGACACCUAUCGAGGUACUUUCCAACAAACCAUACAUGCCUAUUCCACCCAGAACGCGUGAUAACGCAACGGUCAGGCGGUGACCAUGCGACUGGCAUGCAAGUUCACGCGCUCUGGAGUUGGGGCCCUCGGCCACCAUCCAAACCUCGACGUCAAGCCACCACACCAUGUAUUUUUGAUUAAAUAGAUACUUAUGUACCUAUAAAUGAUUUUUGAGAAAAAUAAAGAGCAAACUAUGAGGCACCUCUAGUUCAAAUUUGACCCGCUUCCUACUGAAUCGACGGCAAUUUAUCUUUCUCACUAGAGGUGGGUAAAAGAUUUUAACACCCAACCAUUUUGUUAAUUGUACAUUAAAUAUGGCCUAGUAUUUUAUAAAAAUGAUUUGGUCCAAUUUUGAAACAAAUAUAUCAUAGGUCAUUCACAAAAAAACUCAUUUUGGGCACUUGAGAAAUGGAAAAUGAAUUUUUCAUACAAGGAAAAUGAAAACUUCCUUAAUUAACAUUGUUUGCCAUUCCAAUAUACAGCCUUGUGCAUAAUAUUAGCUCAUUUCAACAAACUAUGCCAUGAAUGUGGUCAUAAGAUUGAUCAUUUGGCUCGAAAGCCAUGAAUCUUCACAUAUGAUGGCUCAUUUCUAAGAACACUUUUUUGAAAUAAUUACCGUCUUACAAGUUUAUUCUUUUUCCUGGUAACUUGGUCACAUAUUAUGACACAAGCGAAGGUUUUGCAUUUUUUUGAUUUUUUUUUAAUUUGUUAUGCCCGUUUUAAAAUGCGGUCGAAACGACGGGCAUGACCGUUCAUAGCUAGGGGUUGAAUCUUGACAAUUUUUUGUUGGAUCUCCGAUUAAAUAGAUACUUCUUCACUUAAAAAUGAUUUUUUGGAAAAAACAUGACAAAACUAUGAGGCACCUCUAGUUUAAAUUUAACCCGCUUCCUACUAAAUCAGUGGCAAUUUGUCUUUUUCACUAGAGGUGGAUAAAAGAUUUUUGACACACAACCAUUUUGUCAAUUAUACAUUAAAUAUGGCCUAAUAUUUUAUAAAAAUGAUUUGGUCCAAUUUUGAAACAAAUAUAUGAUAGGUCCUUCACAAAAAAACUCAUUUUGGGCACUUGAAAAAUGGAAAAUGAAUUUUUAAUACAAGGAAAAUGAAAACUUUCUUAAUCAACAUUGUUUGCCAUUCCAAUAUGCAGUCUUGUGCAUAAUAUUAGCUCAUUUCAACAAACUAUGCCAUGAAUGUGGUCAUAAGAUUGAUCAUUUGGCUCGAAAACCAUGAAUCUUCACACUUGAUGACUCAUUUGUAAGAACACUUUUUUGAAAUAAUUAACGUAUUACAAGUUUAUUAUUUUUCCUCGUAACUUGGUCACAUAUUAUGACUCAACGCGAAGGGUUUUGCAUUUUUGUGAUUUUUUUAAUUUGUUAUGCCCGUUUCAAAAUGCGAUCGAAACGACGGGCAUGACCGUUCAUAGCUAGGGGUUGAAUCUUGCCAAUUUUUUGUUGUAUCUCUGAUUAAAUAGAUACUUCUUUACAUAAAAAUGAUUUUUCGAAAAAAUCAUAAGAAAACUAUGAGGCACCUCUAGUUCAAAUUUAACCCGCUUCCUACUAAAUCAGCGGCAAUUUGUCUUUUUCAAGAAUCCCCUGGAGCUCAACUCCCCGGAAGAAAAUCAAAUCAGACAGGAGGCACCAAGACAGAAGUCCGUCACAUCGGCAUCAUAUAGAUCCCAAAAAUAUCCGCGUGAUCCUAAAAAAAAUUUGAGUGAGAAGAGGAGUAGAAUUAAAAUAUUACGUCAAGAUUCCUCACCAGAGCAUAGAAGAGGAGAAAAAAGAAUCCUACUCUCUGAUAUAUAACUAGACUCAAAGUAGUUUUUCACUAGACUCGACUCGGCCAAGUUCGAUCAAUCAAGGGGGCUCCUAGGUCGGUACUGCUCUCAUACCAACUUGUCACGCCCAAGAUGCGACCCUAUCCUCAAUUUGGCACGAGGGCCUCGUCAGGGAUAGAAGCGCAUCUCGUCGUGUCGCAAGAAUGGAUAUCGUUACAAGUACAUGUCCUAAAAAGAAGAGAUAUAUAUAUAUAUAGAAUUGGCUUACACUCGCCACAAGCUACAUGAGAGUCACAUCAGUACAUUACAUAAUCAUCAGGAGUAAGAGCAGGGUCCGACUACGGACGAAAACAAACGAUAAAAGAAGAACAACGCCCAUCCUUGAUAUCCCAAGCUGCUGGCCUGGAACCCAUCCUAGACNNNNNNNNNNNNNNNNNNNNNNAGGAGAAGAAGAAGCAACUCCAAAUGAACAAUCAACGCGCUCGCGUCAAGUAACCUUUACCUGUACGUGCAACUAGUGUUGUAGUAAUCUGUGAGCCACAGGGGACUCAGCAAUCUCAUUUCCAAAGGUUUCAAGACUAGCAAAGCUUAUUAGGUGAGGUAUGGUUAAGUGGUGAGGUUGCAGCAGCGGCUAAGCAUAUAUUUGGUGGCUAAACUUACGAGUACAAGAAAUAAGAGGGGAUGAUCUACGCAUAACGGACGUGAACUACUGAUGAUCAAAUGAAUGAUCCUGAACACCUACCUACGUCAGACAUAACCCCACCAUGUCCUCGAUCGGAGAAGAAACUCACGAAAGAGACAGUCACGGUUACGCACACAGUUGGCAUAUUUUAAUUAAGUUAACUUCAAGUUAUCUAGAACCAGUGUUAAACAAAGUUUCCACGUUGCCACAUAACCGCGGGCAUGGCUUUCCGAAAAAGAUUUAACCCUGAAGGGGUGCUUCACCUAGUCCAUCACAAAUUACCACAAGCCGCAUAGAAAUCCUCAAUCACGAAGCUCGCGAUCUCGUCGGAUUCCUUACUGGAAAACCUCAACUCUGAGAUUACCCAAAGCAUCACCGGAAUCCCGAUGCACAAGAUAUUCCGUCAAAGGUAAAACUAAUCCAGCAAGGCCGCCCGACGUGUCGACGAUCCCCAUAGGAGUCGCGUACCUCGUUCUCAGGACACGACGGAUGGGUCACACUAGGAGAUACCAAACCUCAGGUUGCCCUGCGGUGGCCCCGUAGUCUGCAAUUUGGACCAACACUCAUGAGGAGCACUGGCCCGGGGGUUGAUUAAAUUAUCCUCGGGUUAACUACUCCCUAUGCAGUUCAUUAGUGAUUAGGCAAAUGUAGUACCAAAGUUGGGCCUUGCCAGACCAGCUUUAAUCUAAACAAAUUAUCAAGGGGGUCCCCAUAACAACCCCGAUCAUGUUAGGAGCGCUCAAAUAUGGAACAUAACACCGGUAGCCGAAACUAAGGGGGCAAAGGUGGAACAAAACACCAGGCUAGAAAGGUUGAGCCUUCCACCUUUUACCAAGUGUAUAGGUGCAUUAAAUUAAAUAGCAUUAAAUAGGGUGAUAUAACAAGGAACCCAUGUUAUCACAUGGAAGCAACUGCACCUGCAACUAGCAACGCUAACAAAAGGGUUAGGCAAUCAGUAACAUAGCCAAUCAGUGGUUUGCUAGGUCGAAUAGGUUGAAGGUUUCAUGACAUUGUUGAGAGGCUGAAAUUUAACAUGUGGUAGGCAUCGAGACAUAAACGAUAGAAGCGAUAAAACUAGCAUGACAAUGAUAGUAAUGGUAUCUGGGCAAAUGGUCAUCUUGCCUGAGAUCCCGCUUGGAAGAAGAACAACUCCGAGAAGUCGGCGAACCAACGUAGUCGAACGGGUCCUCACAUUCCGACACGCUUGCGGAACUCUAUCGAGACGGAGCAAACCGGAAACAAACAUCAACACAGAUAUUAACCACACGAUGCACACAUGAUGCACAACCUACUAUGAUGCAUGAUCAGUUCAACAUGCAAGGGAUGGCAUGGCAAUUCACCUCACGCAAACACUACACAUUAAAUGAAGCUCGAUAUGCAACGGGUUGCAUAUCGACGGAACUCCAUGAUUUAUUAUUUAGUUCACUCCCAUUUAUUUACACGACAAUAUUAAUCUGUUCUUAACAUGACAAGGGGUGAAGCGGUGAUCCUACAAGUCAUCCUAGUCGUUCAACAUGCGGAGCAUAGAUCAGAGCUACGGCACAAGAGACAUGCAACACAAGAUAUCAUGCCAUGAAUGUUUCAUACAUGCAAGUUCAACACCGACAAGAAGAGAAAGAAACAAAUGUCGCCACGGCGAGCGAAAGGGGUACUAAGGCGGCAAGACGGAAACGAAGCCACGGCAACGUUCCUAUCCCAAUAACUCGUCGAGAUAUCGUGCCAACGUAUAGGAUGCGUGUGCGGGAACGUUAAAUAAAGAUGGGGUGAUCCCGCUACCGGGUUCCCAUGUGUCGAGGGCGCGUCGAAAGAGAGACAAUGUGCAACGGGCAACAUACGACGCACACAUACAAUACAUCUCAUACAACAUUAGCACACGGUCACGACACGUCCCAACGGUAUACCUUCGAAGCGUGCAUAUCGGCGCUGUUCGAGUCAUAGCGGACGUCGUGGAAGUCGUGGUCGUCGUGGAAGUAGUGGUACUCGGGUCUCGUCGACGGUAGUCGUUCGCUCGGCGUUGGUUCACGGGACUUCCGCGUCGGUAGUCGAACACGGUUCCGGUGGUCGUCGAGGACGUCGUGGUACUCGCCGAACUCGUCGUCGACCCACGACAGGCGGGGAUGGUGCACGCGGCGACGGCACGCGACAUAACAGCAACUACAGCAACUAGCAACGCAGCAAACUACCUACAGCUACUAGCUCUAACAUCUAACAGCAAGCAAGCUAGCAACUAUCUAGCAAUCGGCUCAGCAGGCAAAACGCAAGCAGGCAAAAGCAAGAGCAGCAACAACUACUACGCAACAGCAACUAGCAAACGGCUACUACAACAACUAGCAUCCGGCUAGCAGUAACAGCUAGCAUCACCAGCAGCGAGCAACCAUCAGCAGCAAGAGCAACGGCACGCAAGGCACAGCACAGCAGCAAGCAACCUAGCAGCAAGCAACCUACAUCUAACUAGCAGCUACUAGCUAGCGAAAAGCAACUACGGCAGCGACGACAGCAUCUACAGCAACUAAACGCAAGCAAGCACGCAAGGGCUACGACACAGCAGCACGAACAGCAACAGCAAAAGGCAACGGCACAAGCAAGCAGCAUCACUACCAACAACGCANNNNNNNNNNNNNNNNNNNNNNNNNNNNNNNNNNNNNNNNNNNNNNNNNNNNNNNNNNNNNNNNNNNNNNNNNNNNNNNNNNNNNNNNNNNNNNNNNNNNAAUGGCUAGAAGCCAUGAAAUCCGAGAUAGGAUCCAUGUAUGAGAACAAAGUGUGGACUUUGGAGAUACUGCCUGAGGGCCGCAAGGCUAUUCAGAACAAAUGGAUCUUUAAGAAGAAGAAGGACGCUGACGGUAAUGUGACCGUUUAUAAAGCUCGACUUGUGGCAAAGGGUUUUUCACAAGUUCCAGGAGUUGACUACGAUGAGACUUUCUCACCCGUAGCGAUGCUUAAGUCCGUCAGAAUUAUGUUAGCAAUAGCUGCAUUUUUCGAUUAUGAAAUCUGGCAGAUGGAUGUCAAAACGGCGUUCCUUAACGGUUUCCUUAAGGAAGAGUUGUAUAUGAUGCAACCCGAAGGUUUUGUCGAUCCUAAAAAUGCUGACAAGGUGUGCAAGCUCCAGCGAUCCAUUUAUGGACUGGUGCAAGCAUCUCGGAGUUGGAAUAAACGCUUUGAUGAGGUGAUCAAAGCAUUUGGGUUUAUACAAGUGGUUGGAGAAUCUUGUAUUUACAAGAAGGUGAGUGGGAUCUCUGUGGCGUUUCUAAUAUUAUAUGUGGAUGACAUAUUACUGAUUGGAAACAAUGUAGAGCUUUUGGAGAGCAUAAAAGGUUACUUGAAUAAAAGUUUCUCUAUGAAGGACCUAGGAGAAGCUGCUUACAUGCUAGGCAUUAAGAUCUAUAGGGAUAGAUCAAACCGCCUGAUAGGCCUUUCACAAAGCACAUACCUUGAUAACGUUUUGAAGAGGUUCAAAAUGGAACAGUCCAAGAAAGGGUUCUUGCCAGUGUUACAAGGUACGAGAUUGAGUAAGACUCAGUGCCCAGCAACUGAUGAAGAUAGAGAGCAUAUGCGCUCCGUCCCCUAUGCUUCAGCCAUAGGCUCUAUCAUGUAUGCAAUGCUGUGCACUAGACCGGAUGUUAGCCUGGACAUAAGUAUGGCAGGUAGGUUCCAGAGUAAUCCAGGAGUGGAUCACUGGACGGCGGUCAAGAAUAUCCUGAAGUACCUGAAAAGGACUAAGGAGAUGUUUCUCGUGUAUAGAGGUGACUAAGAGCUCGCCGUAAAAGGUUACGUCGAUGCAAGCUUUGACACAGAUCCGGACGACUCUAAGUCGCAAACCGGAUACGUAUUUAUUCUUAAUGGGGGUGCAGUAAGCUGGUGCAGUUCCAAGCAAAGCGUCGUAGCAGAUUCUACAUGUGAAGCAGAGUACAUGGCUGCCUCGGAGGCGGCUAAGGAGGGUGUCUGGAUGAAGCAGUUCAUGACGGAUCUUGGAGUGGUGCCAAGUGCACUGGAUCCAAUAACAUUGUUCUGUGACAACACUGGUGCCAUUGCUUUAGCAAAGGAACCAAGGUUUCACAAAAAGACCAGACACAUCAAACAACGCUUCAACCUCAUCCGCGACUACGUCGAGGAGGAGGACGUAAAUAUAUGCAAAGUGCACAUGGAUCUGAAUGUAGGAGACCCGCUGACUAAACCUCUUCCACGGCCAAAACAUGAUCGACACCAGAACUGUAUGGGUGUUAGAUUUAUUACAAUGUAAUUCACAUGGUGAUGUGAGGGCUAGAUUAUUGACUCUAGUGCAAGUGGGAGACUGUUGGAAUUAUGCCCUAGAGGCAAUAAUAAAAGUAUAGUUAUUAUUAUAAUUCCUGUAUCAAGAUAAUAGUUUAUUAUCCAUGCUAUAAUUGUAUUGAAUGAAGACUCAUUUACAUGUGUGGAUACAUAGACAAAACACCGUCCCUAGCAUGCCUCUAGUUGGCUAGCCAGUUGAUCGAUGAUAGUCAGUGUCUUCUGAUUAUGAACAAGGUGUUGUUGCUUGAUAACUGGAUCACGUCAUUGGGAGAAUCACGUGAUGGACUAGACCCAAACUAAUAGACGUAGCAUGUUGAUCGUGUCAUUUUGUUGCUAUUGUUUUCUGCGUGUCAAGUAUUUAUUCCUAUGACCAUGAGAUCAUAUAACUCACUGACACCGGAGGAAUGCUUUGUGUGUAUCAAACGUCGCAACGUAACUGGGUGACUAUAAAGAUGCUCUACAGGUAUCUCCGAAGGUGUUAGUUGGGUUAGUAUGGAUCAAGACUGGGAUUUGUCACUCCGUAUGAUGGAGAGGUAUCUCGGGGCCCACUCGGUAAUACAACAUCACACACAAGCCUUGCAAGCAAUGUAACUUAGUGUAAGUUGCGGGAUCUUGUAUUACGGAACGAGUAAAGAGACUUGCCGGUAAACGAGAUUGAAAUAGGUAUGCGGAUACUGACGAUCGAAUCUCGGGCAAGUAACAUACCGAAGGACAAAGGGAAUGACAUACGGGAUUAUACGAAUCCUUGGCACUGAGGUUCAAACGAUAAGAUCUUCGUAGAAUAUGUAGGAUCCAAUAUGGGCAUCCAGGUCCCGCUAUUGGAUAUUGACCGAGGAGUCUCUCGGGUCAUGUCUACAUAGUUCUCGAACCCGCAGGGUCUGCACACUUAAGGUUCGACGUUGUUUUAUGCGUAUUUGAGUUAUAUGGUUGGUUACCGAAUGUUGUUCGGAGUCCCGGAUGAGAUCACGGACGUCACGAGGGUUUCCGGAAUGGUCCGGAAACGAAGAUUGAUAUAUAGGAUGACCUCAUUUGAUUACCGGAAGGUUUUCGGAGUUACCGGGAAUGUACCGGGAAUGACGAAUGGGUUCCGGGAGUUCACCGGAGGGGGGCAACCCACUCCGGGGAAGCCCAUAGGCAUUUGGGGGGUCACACCAGCCCUUAGUGGGCUGGUGGGACAGCCCACCAAUGCCCUAUGCGCCAAGAGAGAAAAAAUCAAAGGAAAGAGAAAAAAAAAGGAAGAAGUGGGAAGGGGGAAGGACUCCCUCCCACCAAACCAAGUAGGACUCGGUUUGGGGGGGGAGAGUCCUCCCCCCUGGCUCGGCCGACCCCUUGGGAGUCCCUUGGACCCCAAGGCAAGGUCCCCCUCCCUCCUCCUAUAUAUAUGGGGCUUUUAGGGCAGAUUUGAGACGACUUUCUCACGGCUGCCCGACCACAUACCUCCAUAGUUUUUCCUCUAGAUCGCGUUUCUGCGGAGCUCGGGCGGAGCCCUGCUGAGACGAGAUCAUCACCAACCUCCGGAGCGCCGUCACGCUGCCGGAGAACUCUUCUACCUCUCCGUCUCUCUUGCUGGAUCAAGAAGGCCGAGAUCAUCGUCGAGCUGUACGUGUGCUGAACGCGGAGGUGCCGUCCGUUCGGUACUAGAUCGUGGGACUGAUCGCGGGAUUGUUCGCGGGGCGGAUCGAGGGACGUGAGGACGUUCCACUACAUCAACCGCGUUCUCUAACGCUUCUGCUGUACGAUCUACAAGGGUACGUAGAUCACUCAUCCCCUCUCGUAGAUGGACAUCACCAUGAUAGGUCUUCGUGCGCGUAGGAAAAUUUUUGUUUCCCAUGCGACGUUCCCCAACAGUGGCAUCAUGAGCUAGGUUCAUGCGUAGAUGUCUUCUCGAGUAGAACACAAAAGGUUUUGUGGGCGGUGAUGUGCGUUUUGCUGCCCUCCUUAGUCUUUUCUUGAUUCCACGGUAUUGUUGGAUUGAAGCGGCUUGGACCGACAUUACUCGUACGCUUACGAGAGACUGGUUUCAUCGUUACGAGUAACCCCCUUUGCUCAAAGAUGACUGGCAAGUGUCGGUUUCUCCAACUUUAGUUGAAUCGGAUUUGACCGAGGAGGUCCUUGGAUGAGGUUAAAUAGCAACUCAUAUAUCUCCGUUGUGGUGUUUGCGUAAGUAAGAUGCGAUCCUACUAGAUACCCUUGGUCACCACGUAAAACAUGCAACAACAAAAUUAGAGGACGUCUAACUUGUUUUUGCAGGGUAUGAUUGUGAUGUGAUAUGACCAAUGAUGUGAUGUGAUAUAUUGGAUGUAUGAGAUGAUCAUGUUGUAAUAGAAAUAUCGACUUGCACGUCGAUGGUACGGCAACCGGCAGGAGCCAUAGGGUUGUCUUUAUACUAACAUAUGUGCUUGCAGAUGCGUUUACUAUUUUGCUAGGAUGUAGCUUUAGUAGUGAUAGCAUGAGUAGCACGACAACCACGAUGGCAACACGUUGAUGGAUGAUCAUGGUGUGGCGCCGGUGACAAGAAGAUCGUGCCGGUGCUUUGGUGAUGGAGAUCAAGAAGCACGAGAUGAUGGCCAUAUCAUGUCACUUAUGAAUUGCAUGUGAUGUUAAUCCUUUUAUGCACCUUAUUUUUCUUAGAACGACGGUAGCAUUAUGAGGUGAUCUCUCACUAAAAUUUCAAGACGAAAUUGUGUUCUCCCCGACUGUGCACCGUUGCUACAGUUCGUCGUUUCGAGACACCACGUGAUGAUCGGGUGUGAUAGACUCAACUUCACAUACAACGGGUGCAAAACAGUUGCGCACGCGGAACACUCGGGUUAAGCUUGACGAGCCUAGCAUGUGCAGACAUGGCCUCGGAACACAUGAGACCGAAAGGUCGAUCAUGAAUCAUAUAGUUGAUAUGAUUAGCAUAGGAAUGCUUACCACUGAAACUAUACUCAACUCACGUGAUGAUCGGACUUGGGAUAGUAUAAGUGGAUCAUGAAGCACUCAAAUGACUAGAGAGAUGUAAUUUUUGAGUGGGAGUUGAGCAAAUAAUUUGAUUAAGUUGAACUCUAAUUGUCUUGAACAUAGUCUAAGUCCACUUUGAAUAUAUUUGUGUUGUAGAUCAUGGCUCACGCAAGUGUCAUCCUGAAUUUUAAUACGUUCCUAGAGAAAGCUAAGUUGAAAGAUGAUGGAAGCAACUUUGUAGACUGGGCUCGUAAUCUUAAGCUAAUCUUACAAGCUGGAAAGAAGGAUUAUGUCCUUAAUGCUGCGCUAGGAGAUGAACCACCCGCUACGGCUGAUCAGGAUGUUAAGAACGCUUGGUUAGCACGUAAGGAGGACUACUCAGUAGUUCAAUGUGCAGUCUUGUAUGGCUUAGAACCGGGACUUCAACGUCGCUUUGAGCAUCAUGGAGCAUUUGAGAUGUUCCAGGAGUUGAAGUUUAUCUUUCAGAAGAAUGCCCGGAUCGAGAGAUAUGAGACCUCCGAUAAAUUCUAUGCUUGCAAGAUGGAGGAGAACUCGUCUGUCAGUGAACAUGUGCUCAAAAUGUCUGGGUACUCAAACCGUCUAACUGACUUGGGGAUUGAACUCCCGCAAGAAGCUAUCACUAACAGAAUCCUUCAAUCACUGUCGCCAAGCUAUAAAGGCUUUGUGUUGAACUACAACAUGCAAGGUAUGAACAAGUCUCCCGGCGAGUUGUUUGCCAUGCUAAAAGUCGUAGAGUCUGAACUCCGUAAAGAGCAUCAAGUGUUGAUGGUGAAUAAGACCACUAGUUUCAAGAGAAACGGCAAAGGCAAGAGGGGUAAUUCAAAGAAGAGCGGCAAGCCUGUUGCCAAUCCGACGAAGAAACCCAAAGCUGGACCUAAGCAUGAAACAGAGUGUUGCUAUUGCAAGGGCAUGGGUCACUGGAAGCGCAACUGCCCCAAGUAUCUGGCUGAUAAGAAGGCGGCCAAAGAAAAAUCAGGUAUAUUUGAUAUACAUGUUAUUGAUGUGUACUUAACCGGCUCUCGUAGUACUGCGUGGGUAUUCGAUACCGGUUCUGUUGCUCAUAUUUGCAACUCAAAACAGGAACUGCGGAAUAGACGAAGGCUGGCGAAAGAUGAAGUGAUGAUGCGCGUAGGAAAUGGUUCCAAGGUUGAUGCAAUCGCCGUCGGCACAGUUUCACUUUAGUUACCAUAAGGAUUAGUUAUGAACUUGAAUCAUUGUUAUUUAGUGCAUGCGUUGAGCAUGAACAUUAUAUCUGGAUCUUGUUUAUUGCGAGACGGUUACUCUUUGAAGUCAGAGAAUAAUGGUUGUUCUAUUUCUAUGAGUAACAUCUUUUAUGGUCAUGCACCCAAUGUGAGAGGAUUUUUCAUAUUGAAUCUUGAUAGUGAUACACACACACAUAACAUUGAGACCAAAAGAGUUAGAGUUAACAAUGAUAGCGCCAUAUUUUUGUGGCACUGCCGCUUAGGUCAUAUUGGUGUAAAGCGCAUGAAGAAACUCCAUGCCGAUGGACUUUUGGAGUCACUUGACUUUGAUUCACUUGACACGUGCGAACCAUUCCUCAUGGGAAAGAUGACUAAAACUCCGUUCUCCGGAACAAUGGAGCGUGCAAGUGACUUGUUGGAAAUCAUACAUACCGAUGUGUGUGGUCCGAUGAGCGUAGAGGCACGCGGCGGAUAUCGUUAUUUUCUCACCUUCACUGACGAUUUGAGUAGAUAUGGUUAUGUCUACUUAAUGAAGCACAAGUCUGAAACAUUUGAAAAGUUCAAGCAAUUUCAGAGUGAAGUUGAAAAUCAUCGUAACAAGAAGAUCAAGUUCCUACUGUCUGAUCGUGGGGGUGAAUAUCUGAGUUUCGAGUUUGGUGCUCACUUAAGACAAUGUGGAAUUGUUUCACAGUUGACACCGCCUGGAACACCACAGCGUAAUGGUGUGUCCGAACAUCGUAAUCGUACUUUAUUAGAGAUGGUGCGAUCUAUGAUGUCUCUUACCGAUUUGCCGUUAUCAUUUUGGGGUUAUGCAUUAGAAACAGCUGCAUUCACUUUAAAUAGGGCACCAUCAAAAUCCGUUGAGACGACACCAUACGAACUGUGGUAUGGCAAAAGGCUAAAGUUGUCGUUUCUUAAAGUUUGGGGAUGUGAUGCUUAUGUCAAAAAGCUUCAGCCUGAAAAGUUGGAACCCAAAGCGGAAAAGUGCAUCUUAAUAGGUUACCCAAAAGAGACAGUUGGGUACACCUUCUAUCUCAAAUCCGAGGGCAAAGUGUUUGUUGCUAAAAAUGGAGCUUUUCUUGAGAAGGAGUUUCUCUCGAGAGAAUUGAGUGGGAGGAAGAUAGAACUUGACGAGGUUGUCGAACCUCGCAUCCCUCUGGAUGGUGGUGCAGGGCAAGGGGAAACCUCUGUCGUUGCGACGCCGGUUGAGGAGGAAGUUAAUGAUGAUGAUCAUGAAACUCUGGUUCAAGUUUCUGUCGAACCACGCAGGUCGACGAGACCACGUGCUGCUCCAGAGUGGUACGGUAAUCCCGUCUUAUCAAUCAUGUUGUUAGACAACAAUGAACCUGCAAAUUAUGAAGAAGCAAUGGUGGGCCCAGAUUCCAACAAAUGGCUAGAAGCCAUGAAGUCCGAGAUAGGAUCCAUGUAUGAGAACAAAGUGUGGACUUUGGAAGUACUGCCUGAGGGCCGCAAGGCUAUUAAGAACAAAUGGAUCUUUAAGAGGAAGAUGGAUGCUAACGGCAAUGUGACCGUUUAUAAAGCUCGACUUGUGGCAAAGGGUUUUUCACAAGUUCAAGGAGUUGACUAUGAUGAGACAUUCUCACCCGUAGCGAUGCUUAAGUCCGUCAGAAUCAUGUUAGCAAUAGCUGCAUUUUUUGAUUAUGAAAUCUAGCAGAUGGAUGUCAAAACGGCGUUCCUUAACGGUUUCCUUAAGGAAGAGUUGUAUAUGAUGCAACCCGAAGGUUUUAUCGAUCCUAAGAAUGCUAACAAGGUGUGCAAGCUCCAGCGAUCCAUUUAUGGACUGGUGCAAGCAUCUCGGAGUUGGAACAAACGCUUUGAUGAGGUGAUCAAAGCAUUUGGGUUUAUACAAGUGGUUGGAGAAUCUUGUAUUUACAAGAAAGUGAGUGGGAGCUCUGUGGCGUUUCUAAUAUUAUAUGUGGAUGACAUAUUACUGAUUGGAAACAACGUAGAGCUUUUGGAGAGCAUAAAAGGUUACUUGAAUAAAAGUUUCUCUAUGAAGGACCUAGGAGAAGCUGCUUACAUUCUAGGCAUUAAGAUCUAUAGGGAUAGAUCAAAACGCCUGAUAGGACUUUCACAAAGCACAUACCUUGAUAAAGUUUUGAAGAGGUUCAAAAUGGAACAGUCCAAGAAAGGGUUCUUGCCAGUGUUACAAGGUACGAGAUUGAGUAAGACUCAGUACCCAGCAACUGAUGAAGAUAGAGAGCAUAUGCGCUCCGUCCCCUAUGCUUCAGCCAUAGGCUCUAUCAUGUAUGCAAUGCUGUGCACUAGACCGGAUGUUAGCCUGGCCAUAAGUAUGGCAGGUAGGUUCCAGAGUAAUCCAGGAGUGGAUCACUGGACGGCGGUCAAGAAUAUCCUGAAGUACCUGAAAAGGACUAAGGAGAUGUUUCUCGUGUAUGGAGGUGACGAAGAGCUCGCCGUAAAAGGUUACGUCGAUGCAAGCUUUGACACAGAUCCGGACGACUCUAAGUCGCAAACCGGAUACGUAUUUAUUCUUAAUGGGGGUGCAGUAAGCUGGUGCAGUUCCAAGCAAAGCGUCGUAGCAGAUUCUACAUGUGAAGCGGAGUACAUGGCUGCCUCGGAGGCGGCUAAGGAGGGUGUCUGGAUGAAGCAGUUCAUGACGGAUCUUGGAGUGGUGCCAAGUGCACUGGAUCAAUUAACCUUGUUCUGUGACAACACUGGUGCCAUUGCCUUAGCAAAGGAACCAAGGUUUCACAAGAAGACCAGACACAUCAAACGACGCUUCAACCUCAUCCGCGACUACGUCGAGGAGGAGGACGUAAAUAUAUGCAAAGUGCACACGGAUCUGAAUGUAGCAGACCCGCUGACUAAACCUCUUCCACGGCCAAAACAUGAUCGACACCAGAACUGUAUGGGUGUUAGAUUUACUACAAUGUAAUUCACAUGGUGAUGUGAGGGCUAGAUUAUUGACUCUAGUGCAAGUGGGAGACUGUUGGAAUUAUGCCCUAGAGGCAAUAAUAAAUGUAUAGUUAUUAUUAUAAUUCCUGUAUCAAGAUAACAGUUUAUUAUCCAUGCUAUAAUUGUAUUGAAUGAAGACUCAUUUACAUGUGUGGAUACAUAGACAAAACANNNNNNNNNNNNNNNNNNNNNNNNNNNNNNNNNNNNNNNNNNNNNNNNNNNNNNNNNNNNNNNNNNNNNNNNNNNNNNNNNNNNNNNNNNNNNNNNNNNNUUUAUGUUUUUCUUCUAUUUUUCAGAUGAAAAAUAUCAAAGAAUGAUCUCAUAUUAUUUCCAAGAGUGCGACUUGGAAUGGCAAACAAUAUUCCCAUAUUUAAUGUACAAUUGAUGAAACAGUUGUGUGCUAAAAGUUUCGAGUCAUUUCUCGUGAAAAAGACAAUUUUUUGCCGAUUCAGCAGGAAGCAUGUCAAAUUUGAACUACAACUGCCUCAACGUUUGCUCUUUAUUUAUUUUUCAAAAAUCAUUUCUAGGUACAUAAGUAUCUAUUUAAUGAGAUAAACAUCAAAAGAUUUGCAAGAAUCAACCCCUAGCUACGAAUGGUCAUACCGUCGUUUUGACCGCAUUUUGAAACGAGCAUAGAAAAUUAAAAAAAAUUCAAACAAAUGAAAAACCUUUGCAUUGUGUCAUUAUAUGUGACCAAGUUGUGAGUAAUAAGAAUAAACUUGUAAUACAUUAAAUGUUGUAAAAAAUGUUCUUAGAAAUGAGCUAUCACGUGUGAAGAUUCAUGGCUUUCAAGCCAAAUGAUCAAUCUUAUGGACACAUUCAUUCAUAGUUUAUUCAAAUGAUCUCAUAUUAUGCACUAGUCUUCAUCUUGGAAUGGUAAACAAUGUUGCCUAAGUAAGUUUUCAUUUUCUUUGGACGAAAAAAUCAUUUUCCAUUUUUCUAAUGCCCAAAAUUAGUUUUUUUGUGAAGGAUCUAGCAUAUAUUUGUUGCAAAAUUGUACCAAAUCAAUUUUCUAAAAUACCAGUCCAUAUGUAAUGCACAAUUGACCUAAUGGUUGGGUGUCAAAAGCUUUUAUCCACCGCUCCUAAAAAAGACAAAUGUGUGCCGAUUCAAGUGGAAGCGGGUCAAAUUUGAACUGCAACUGCAUUAUACUUUGCUUUUUAUUUUUCCCAGAAAUCAUUAUUAGGUACAUAAGUAUCCAUUUAAUCAUAGAAACACCAAAAGUUUUCCAAGAAUCAACCCCUAGCUAGGAACGGUCAUGCUUGUUGUUUUGACUGCAUUUUGAAAUGAGCAUGAAAAAUUCAAAAAAAUCAAAAAAUUGGAAAACCGUUGCAUUGUGUCAUUAUAUGUGACCAAGUUGCUAGUAAAAAUAAUAAACAUGUAAUAUGGUAAUUGUUUUUUAAAAAGUGUUCUCGGAAUCAGCUAUCUUGUGCGAAGAUUCAUGGUUUUCAUGCCAAAUGAUCAAUCUUAUGGCCACAUUCAUUGCAUAGUUUGUUCAAAUGAUCUCUUGUUAUGCACAAGGGUGCAUCUUGGAAUGGCAAACAAUGUUUCCUAAGGAAGUUUUCAUUUUCCGUGAACGAAAAAAAUCAUUUUCCAUUUUUCUAAGGACCAAAAUUAGUUUUGUUGUGAAGGAUCUACCAUAUAUUUGUUGUAAAAUUGUAUCAAAUCAAUUUUCUAAAAUACUAUUCCAUAUUUAAUGCACAAUUGACCUAAUGGUUGGGUGUCAAAAUCUUUUAUCCACCGCUCGUGAAAAGGGCAAAUUUGUGUCCAUUCACGUGGAAGCGGGUCAAAUUUGAACUGCAACUGCAUUAUACUUUGCUCUUUAAUUUUCCUAAAAUUAAUUUCUAGGUACAUAAGUAUCCAUUUAAUCAUAGAUAAAUUGUGUGAUGGGAAGACAUCGAGGUUUGUAUGGUGUCUGAGGGCCCCAACUCUAGAGCGUGUAAACGAGCAUGCGAACCGCGUGGUCACCGCGUGACUGUGGCAUUGCCACGCAUUUUGGGAAGCAUAGGCAUGUCUGGUGGGUUUAUCACUCCCCUGUUAGGUGUUAGUAAGAAUAAUACAACAGAAAAAUCUCACGAGGAGACUCAAAUAAGCUCAAACAUGAAUUAGCAGCCAAGUGUUUGAUUAGCGGUGGGGGAAAUUCACAAGGCCAAUGGGCGUGAUUUUUCGGUGAGGAUGAUCAUCUACUAAGUAGACUGUCUUGGCAAAUUUUUAGCUCAAAUGAAGGAUUCUAGGUGGCACUUGCUUUGUAAAGUACCACACUGGGCAGAAAUAUGGAUGUUGAAGGUGGGCUCAAAUGAAUUCAUGGAUUGAUCUACCAUAUGGUGGAGGAUGGUGAUUUGGGCAUUGGAAUUUACUGUAAAUUUUUUAUACCAUUUAGACAUGCCAAAGUGGCAGUCCUUCACAAUGCUCUUCUAUGGACAAAAAUUUGUAAAAAUUAUUGAGAGGAAUUGGAUAAAUGAAAUGAGCUCACAUUUGGUGUAGAGAAGUUACACAUGUAGGAACAUGCCCUGGUAAAUUAUUAACAGUAAUUGAGAAAUAUAAAAUAUAUUUGCUUCACAAACUAAAAAUGUGACGAGAAUAAAAGAUUGGAUGAUGAGCUCACAUGGAUUACUGAACAGAGCUCAAAUUUUAUGAGAGUGAUCAUUUGGGCAUAUAGAAUAUUUGGAAAAAUCUUAGAUCAUUUGGAUAUUUCUAGCUAGUACUUCCUUCACAAAACUUCUCUCUGGGUAGAAAAUUUGGAAAUUUGCUGAGGAAUAUUUAAUAGGCAAAUAGAGCUGAAUAUUGGCAUGUGACAAUCAUUUGGAUAUGGAAGAUAGCCAAAAAAGUUUGCAUGCAACACAAGGUGUCUAGAUAGCAUUUGUUUUGCAAUGUGCCAAUCUGGAUAGAAAAUAGAAAUUGAAGUUGUGCUCACAUAAAUGAUUGGAUGGAGCUUAAAUUUGGAGGAGUAUGAUAAUUUGGUCAUAUGAAGACAGUGUAAACAUUUCAUACCAUUUGAAUAAAGAAAAUUGGUACUUCCUUCACAAUGCUCUCCACUGAACAAAACAUUGGGAAAAUAUUGAUGCAAAUUGGCUAAAUAAAAUGAGCUACAAUUUGGUGAAGGGAGGUUAUAUGGUUACGGUCAUGUUCUGGUAAAUUUUCAUCAUUUAUAAAGCAAUAGAAAAUGUAGUUGCUUCACAAACUGAAAAUAUUACCAGAAACAAUCAUUUCAAGGUACAUAAUUAUCUAUUUAAUCACAGAAACAUCAAAUUUGCAAGAUUCAAUCACUACUAGGAACGGUCAUGGCCGAUGUUUUGACUGCAUUUUGAAACGAACAUGAAAAAUUCAAAAAACAAAUAUCAAAAAAUUGUUUUUGCACAGGUUUCUUGAGUUCACUUUUAGUUUCCUUUUUUUCCUUUUCCUAAUUUNNNNNNNNNNNNCCUAAUUUUGUUUAGUUUUUAAUUUUCAUAUUUUCUUUUCCUUAUCUCUUUUCCUUUUUAGUCUAUAUUUCUGAAUACAUGAAUAACCUUUUUCUAAUACAUGUUUCAUAUUUUCAAAUACAAAUUUAACUUUUUUUAUUAUUUGGUCAACAUUUUUAUAUACAGACUUUUUACAUUUUGAAAUGCCUUAUUAAUAUUUUUUACAUACAAGAUUAUUUUUCAAUACAUGUUCACCAUUUUAAUACACAUUUUAAUUUUCUUAAUUGCUUGAUUACCAUUUCCAAAUACAAGAUUUUUUAAUACAUCGUUCAUAUUUUUUAUAUUCACAUUUUUUAAUUCUUUAUUAAGAAAAUUCAAAUACAAGAUUGACAUAUUUUUAAUACAUGUUCAACAUUUUUUUCUAUACGCAUUUUAAAAUUUUCAAAUGCUUGAUUAAAUUUUGAAUUCCUUUUUUUUUGUAAUACUCCCUUUAUUUAUAUGGAGUCAAAGACAUGCGAAGCCCACGUUUUCCACUAUGUGCACCCUCUAUAGUUAUGUUUGCUGUUGGCCCACUCGUUAGAAGAAAAAAACUAAACAAAGGGAUCUUGUUCACCCGUGGCGCAAGCCCAGCAACGCGUUGGGCUAUUUAAAAUGAGCUGGUUCGGUUCUAUGGCAUGAACGGUUUAGUGGCCUCGUGGUUAGCGUGGGAUUUCUAGGCGAUGGGAGGGAGAGGUCUCGAGUUCGACUCGCUCUUCUCCUCCUUCUCCCAUUUUUCAUGCAUAUGUGCCAUUGUUGUGUUGUUCGUCAGGGUAGUGGUCCGCAUGUCAGUGGGUCGUAUUUUUCACGUUGAUGGUAGAUCCCACUCGGAGGGUAGCGGGUAUGCAUGUCAGCUAGGUCCCCCCCCCCCCGGUCCUACCUGCCAGAUCGCCAAGUUAAUGUGUGGAUCUCACCUAUUAGUGCUAGAUUUAAAUUGACACAUAGGAGAAAAACGACACAUCGACGUGGCACGUAGAAGAAAUUGGUGAGGUGGCCGCCCCGUCAUUUCAAUGCAUCACAAAUCAGCAAUUAUGACCAUCCAUAUUAGUCCUAAUCGCCUAGAAUUCUCACAUGGACUAGUGUUGUGUGCUUUACGACCAUUUCGUGUAAGGGACUUGUGACCUUUAUGAUCAAAAUUGAUCGUUAUGGUUUAGCAUUUGGAGCCCUCGAACAUAUUACGACCAAUUGAUGUCAAAUGGUCGUAGGUUUACGAGCAUUUCCGCUAGGGUCACUUCGAGAAGGUCACAAGUUGACAUAUUUCUUGUAGUGCCUAGUUACGUACUAAGGAUAGGCUAGCAACCAGAACAAAAAAGGUUGGCUCCCAAUUACAUGUUAGUGUGUAGUUGUAAUUGCAACUAGGAAAUAAAUAGGGUUGGAUCCCUAGUUAUGUAUCAAGGUGGACUUGCAAGUUGUCAACAAACUCAAGAUGCUUCACACAAAACUGGUAGCAUAGAGAAUGCAUCUCAUCUGUUCCGCCCCAGGGCGUCACCGCCACCCACCUCCCAUGUUUUCCGGGCACACAAUCGCCCCAUCACGACCGCUUCUGCCCAUGACCAUCGUCGACGGAUUCCUUUGUCGUCUGACGUGCUAUAUUGUCGUGCUUUCACCGAGUUGCUGCCCACCUCGAGCGCUACUUCCUCCUAACCUUCUAUGCCAAAACAAAUUGUUUCAUGGCAAUAGAGUAGCCUUCUAUAGUUAAUAUUUUUGUCAUGGUAGGUAGAAAAAACCUAAUGAAAAGUAGUCAAAUCGUCAUCCAAAUCUAACGCCCACGCAGAGGUGGGCAAUUUUCUUCUCUCGUUUCACUCGAGGUGGGUGAUAUUGCUCUCAGUUUUUUUCCUUUUUUAUUUAUUUUGUAUUCAUGUUUCUUAUUACUUUCCAUGUAUUUUUUUUAUUUUCUUACUCUAUUUUAUUUUAUUUCANNNNNNNNNNNNNNNNNAUUUUAUUUCAUAUUUUCUCUUUACCUUUCCUUUAUUCAUUCAACGUUUUGUAUUCCCUUUUUUGUUUCUUUUAUAAAGAGAGGUACUCAUUUUUAAAAAAACACAUUUGUAAUAUAAAUGGAAACUUCAUAUACAUGAACAUUUUACGAAUACAAGUUAAACAUAUAAUAAUAUCCAAUUAGCAUUUUCUCAAUACAUGAAAAAAAUUCAAAAACUUAUGUACAUUUUCUAUAGCCAUGGAAUCAUUUCACAUACAUCUAGAAAUUUUUUAAAUACAUGUCGUCAUCUCUAAAAUAAUGCGACACAUUUCCUAAAUGUAAAUUGAAUUAAUUUUAAUACAUNNNNNNNNNNNNNNNNNNNNNNNNNNNNNNNNNNNNNNNNNNNNNNNNNNNNNNNNNNNNNNNNNNNNNNNNNNNNNNNNNNNNNNNNNNNNNNNNNNNNUCUUUUACUUCUUCUUCUCUUCUUGAUUCUUAUCUUUCUCUUCUUCUACAUAGCUUAGACUCAUCCAACAAAGACUAAAUUGGCUAAUUAUCCUACAAAAUGACAUAAUUACCUUCGUUAGGUGAAAACAUCAUAAGAACCUUGGUUAGCUCAUUAAAAUGACCAAUUUAGCUAAAAAUUAAAUAAUAAGCUCAAAAUGGCAUAAGAACCUUGGUUAGCUCAUGAAUAUUAUAUACUUAGCUUGGCUUCCACCUAAAUGAUAUAAUUAGCCAAUUUAGCUCCAAUAUGGCUUAAUAAGCAUAGUUAGCUCCAAAAUGACAUAUUUAACCCAAGUGAGCUCCGAAACGACCUAUAGUUAGCUAGGCUUCCACCUAAAUGACAUAAUUAGCGUAGUUAGCUCCAAAAUGACCUAUAGUUGGCUAAGUUCUCACAUAAAUGACAUAAUAAGGCUUACGUAGCUCCAAGAUGACCUAUUCCCCCUAACUUAUGUAUUGAAUGGCCUAUUGUUAGCUUAGGUAGAUCCAAAAUGCUUAAUAAGCAUACUUUGCUCCGGAAUGUCCUAUUUUACCCAAGUUAGCUCCUAAAUGACCUAUAGUUAGCUAGGCUUCCACCUAAAUGACAUAAUUAGCUUAGUUAGCUCCAAAAUGGUCUANNNNNNNNNNNNNNNNNNNNNNNNNNNNNNNNNNNNNNNNNNNNNNNNNNNNNNNNNNNNNNNNNNNNNNNNNNNNNNNNNNNNNNNNNNNNNNNNNNNNUAGACCAUUUUGGAGCUAACUAAGCUAAUUAUGUCAUUUAGGUGGAAGCCUAGCUAACUAUAGGUCAUUUCGGAGCUAACUUGUGUAAAAUGUGUCAUUCCGGAGCAAACUAUGGUUAUUAAGCCAUUUUGGAUCUAGCUAAGCUAAUUAUAGGCCAUUUAAUACCUACGUUUGGGGGAAUAGGUCAUCUUGGAGCUAAGUUAGCCUUAUUAUGUCAUUUAGGAGAGAACUUAGCUAACUAUAGGUCAUUUAUUAUUAAAUAGGUCAUUUUGGAGCUAACUAAGCUAAUUAUGUCAUUUAGGUGGAAGCCUAGCUAACUAUAUGUCGUUUCGGAGCUAACUUGGGUUAAAUAUGUCAUUUUGGAGGAUAAUUAGCUAAGAAUGCCUUUUUGGAGCUAAUUAUGUCAUUUCGAGAAUAAUUAGCUAAGUAUAGGUCAUGUUUUAUUGAAUAGACCAUUUUGGAGCUAACUAAGCUAAUUAUGUCAUUUAGGUGGAAGCCUAGCUAACUCUAGGUCAUUUUGGAGCUAACUUGGGUAAAAUAGGCCAUUCAGGAGCAAACUAUGCUUUUAAGCCAUUUUGGAUCUAGCUAAGCUAAUUAUAUCCCAUUUCAUACCUAAGUUAGGGGGAAUAGGUCAUCUUGGAGCUAAGUUAGCCUUAUUAUGUCAUUUCGAGGAUAAUUAGCUAAGUAUAUGUCAUUUUGGAGCUAAUUAUGUCAUUUCGAGGAUGAUUAGCUAAGUAUAGGUCAUGUUUUAUUAAAUAAACCAUUUUGGAGCUAACUAAGCUAUAUGUCAUUUAGGUGGAAGCCCAGCUAACUAUAGGUUAUUUCGGAGCUAACUUGGGUAAAAUAGGUCAUUCCGGAGCAAACUAUGCUUAUUAAGCCAUCUUGGAGCUAAGUUAGCCUUAUUAUGUCAUNAUCUAGCUAAGCUAAUUAUAGGCCAUUUAAUACCUACGUUAGAGGGAAUACUUAAGCCAUUUUGGAUCUAGCUAAGCUAAGCUAAUUAUAGGCCAUUUUGGAUCUAGCUAAGCUAAUUAUAGGUCAUUCCGGAGCAAACUAUGCUUAUUAAGCCAUCUUGGAGCUAAGUUAGCCUUAUUAUGUCAUUUAGGAGAGAACUUAGCUAACUAUAGGUCAUUUAUUUUUACACUUAGCUCGAAGUGUCUUCUGCAUCCUCUUAGUUGAGUAGCACCAUCGAAUUUGAAUGGGCCCCCCCAUUCUUGCCUUGCUCGGGAGAUGCAAAUCAAAUGUUGCAUUUGAUUAAAGAAGCCCGGUGGAAAGAUCUUUUCUAAUUUGCACAUCAACUCCACCGCCAACUCUUCCAUUUCAUGUAGCACGCCAGGCGAUAGUUCUUUCGCACAAAGAGAACGGAAGAAAUAGCUCAGCUCUGUGAGUACUAGCCAUUCAUCCUUAGGGAUAAAGCCACGCAACAUCACCGGCAUUACCCGCCAAUCCAUAUGUGCCAAUCAUGACUCUUGAGACCAAAUAUUUUCAAUUUCUCAAGACUCACUCCCCUCUUUAGAUUCGCAGCAUACCCAUCGGGGAACAUCAAUCGCAUUUUCACCCACAAUAGCAUUUCCCUCAUAGCUGGCCUUUCAAGAUUGAACCAUGCCUUUGGCUUCGCUAUGCUUUGCUUUCCUUUCCGUUGUUGCAAGUUUUGCAACGCUCUAUCACAUAGAGCCUGCAGGUCGAUUCUAGCCUUAGUAUUAUCUUUCGACUUCCCCUCUAUGUCGAACAAUGUACCAAAAAUGGCCUCCGCAAUAUUCUUUUCAGUGUGCAUCACGUCGAUGUUGUGUGGGCAAAGGAGGUCUUUGAAGUAAGGCAGAUCCCAUAAGCAUGGCUUGUGAGUCUAAGCGUGUUCCGUAUUAUACCCUUUGAAGUAUCCUGGACGCAAAGGAUUAGGCUCGAGAGCAUUUAACUGAUCAAGGGUUUGUUGGCCUGUCAACGUAGUUGGUGCAGUGUUUUUGACAACUCUACCUUUGAUGAAAUUCUUCUUGUCUUUUUUGAACUUAUGGUCAGGAUCCAGGAAUUGUCUAUGCAUGUCGAAGCAAGAAAACUUGCAACCAGCCUGCAGCCAACGGAACUGAAGAGCUGCCUUGCAUGUGGUGCACAGGAACCUUCCAUGCACACACCAGCCAGCGAAUAACACAAAUGCCGGAUAAUCAUGCGUUGAGUACAUGUACCACACAUGCAUUUUGAAAUUUGAUUUGGUAGCCGCAUCGUAGGUCUUGAUCCCAUUAUCCCAGGAUUCUUGCAACACAUCCUUAAGCGGCUGCAUGUACACAUUCAUAUUCUUCCCCAGAUAGUUGCGCCCUGGAAUUAUCAACGUCAGGAAAAUGUUCUUUCUUUUCAUAAUCUCUCCGGGUGGCAAAUUGAGUGGAAUGACAAAUACAGGCCAACAACUGUAUUGUGUUGCCAUCAUACCAUACACAUUGAACCCAUCCGUGCUGAUGGCAACUCUAGGUUGCCUUGGAUCUUCCGAUUUAUACUUAUGUAAUGCAUCAAAGUGCCUCCAUGCAAAACCAUCUGAAGUGUGUACCAACAUCUUGUUCCCAUCCGCAUCUAGUUCGGUUCUUUUGCCCAAUUUGUGCCAUGUCAUCUGUCUGGCCGUCUCUUCAACCAUGAAAAGACGUUGAAGUCUUGGUACGAUUGGCAGAUAACGAAGAACACUAAUGGGGAUUUUGGUCUGAUUCUUCUCACCCAUACCAUUGUCUACUGCAACUGCUACAGCAGACCUUCCCUGGUAUGGCGCCAGGAAUCCUCCUGCUACGGCUACGCCUUUAGGAACUUCCUUGGCAAAUAUGCAAAGGAUUUCCCCACGGCCUGGGAGCCUUGCGUUGGUGUUCCCUUGAAGAGGAAAGGGUGAUGUAGCACAGCGGCGGCAAGUAUUUCCCUCGGUUUGAGAACCAAGUUAUCGAUCCAGUGGGAGGAUCUCGUCAAGUCACAAGUACCUGCACAAACACAAAGAGCUUGCACCCAACGCUAUGAAGGGGUUGUCAAUCCCUUAUAGAUUAUUUGCAAAGUGAGAACUGAAAGCAACAAAGUAAACGAAGCAAAGUAAAAGUGAAAGUGGAAACGAUAGUUGUGAAUAGACCCGGGGGCCGUAGUGUUCACUAGUGGCUUUUCUCAUGAAAGAAAGUAGACGGUGGGUGAACGAAUAACUGUCGAGCAAUUUAUAGAACCGCGCAAAGUCGUGACGUUAUCUAAGGCAAUGAUUAUAUCUAUAGGCAUCACGUCCAAAACAAGUAGACUGAUACUUUCUGCAUCUACUACUAUUACUCCACACGUCGACCGCUAUCCAGCAUGCAUCUAGUGUAUUAAGUCCAAAAGAACAGAGUAACGCCUUAAGCAAGAUGACAUGAUGUAGAUGGACAAUCUGAUAUCUACGAUAAAAUCACAUCUUGUUACCCUUGAUGGCAACAACAUGAUGCGUGCCUUGCUGCCCCUUCUGUCACUGGAAAAGGUCACCAGACGGUAUGAACCCAAAACCAAGCACUUCUCCCAUUGCAAGAAUAAUAGAUCUAGUUGGCCAAACAAAACCCAAGACUUGGAGAGACUUACAAGGAUAUCAAAUCAUGCAAAUAAGAAAUCAGCAAAGACUCAAAUAUAAUUCAUAGAUAAUCUGAUCACAAAUCCACAAUUCAUCGGAUCUCGACAAACACACUGCCAAAGAGGAUUAUAUCGGAUAGAUCUCCAUGAAGAUCAUGGAGAACUUUGUAUUGAAGAUCCAAGAGAGAGAAGAAGCCAUCUAGCUACUAACUACGGACCCGUAGGUCUGAAGUGGACUACUCACGAGUCAUUGGAGAGGCGAUGAUGUUGAUGUAGAAGCCCUCCAACUCCAAAGUCCCCUCCGGCAGGGCACCAUGAAGGGUCUCCAAAUGAGAUCUCGCGGAAACAGAAGCUUGCGGCGGCGGAAAAGUGUUUUCAUGGUUGCCCUGAUUUUUUUGGAUUUUUAGGGAAUUUAUAGGCCAAAGAGCUAGGGCAGGGGAGCGCCACGGAGGCCACAAGCCUGGUUGCAGCGGGCCCCCUGGCCGCGAUAACAGGGCUUGUGGGCUCCCUGUGGGCUGCAUGCCUUGGCCCUCAAGCCUCCUGAUCUUCUUCCGUUCUGGAAAAAUUUAUUUCGGGGAUUUUAUUCCGUUUGGACUCCGUUCCAAAAUCAGAUCUGAAAAGAGUCAAAAACACAUAAAAACAAGAACUGGCACCUGGCACUAGAUUAAUAAGUUAGUCCCAAAAAAGAUAUAAAAGGUAAACAAAACAUCCAAAGUUGACAAUAUAACAGCGUGAAACCAUAAAAAAUUAUAGAUACGUUUGAGACGUAUCAAGCAUCGCCAAGCUUAACUCUUGCUCGUCCUCGAGUAGGGAAGUGAUAAAGAAUGAAUUUUUGAUGCUUUCGUGCUACCUAGCAUAGAUUUCCUUUGUAACUCCUCUUAUGUGACGUGAAUGUUCAGAUCCAUUAGAUUCAAAACAAUAGUUUGCUAUUGACGUGGAAACAAUAAUAAUUCAAGCAAACUAGCAAGGUAAUCAUGAACUUUCAGAAUAACAAGGCCAAAAGAAAGUUAUCCCUACAAAAUCAUAUAGUCUGGCUAUGCUCUAUCAUCCUUGCACAACGAAUUUAAAUCAUGCACAACCCCGGUAUUGGCCAAGUAAUUGUUUUCACACCUUUACUUUCUCAUACUUUUUCAACUCUCAUGCAAUACAUGAGCGUGAGCCAUGGUUUUAGCACUAUAAGUGGUGUGGAGUGUGGUGGAGGUUUCAAGGCAAACAAGGAGAAGAUGGUCACAUUGACUAGGCAUAUCAAUGAGCUAUGGAGAUGCUCAUCAAUAGAUAUCAACGUGAAUGAGUAGGGAUUGCCAUAGAAUUGAUGCACUAGACCUAAGAGUAAAUUGAAAGCUCUUAAAGAAAACUAGUGGGUGUGCAUCCAACUUGCUUGUUCACGGAGACCUAAGGCAAUUUUGAGGAAGCCUAUCAUUUGAAUAUACAAGCCAAGUUAUACAAUGAAAAUUUCCCACUAGCUAUAUGGUGGUGACAAAACGAGAGACUCUCAAUCAUGAAGGUCAUGGUGCUUAAUAAGCACAAGUGUGGAAAGAUAGUAGCAUUGUCCCUUCUCUCUUUUUCUCUCAUUUUUUUGGUGGGCUCUUUGGCCUCUUUUUUUUUUUGGUGGGCAUCUUUGGCCACUUUUAGUAAAUGGGCUUCGCUGGCCUCUUUUAUUUCCUCACAUGGGAAAAUGCUCCAUCAAUGAUGUGUUGGGGAACGUCGCAUGGGAAACAAAAAUUUUCCUACGCGCACGAAGACCUAUCAUGGUGAUGUCCAUCUACGAGAGGGGAUGAGUGAUCUACGUACCCUUGUAGAUCGAACAGCAGAAGCGUUAGAGAGCGUGGUUGAUGUAGUGGAAUGUCCUCACGUCCCUCGAUCCGCCCCGCGAACAAUCCCGCGAUCAGUCCCUCGAUCUAGUACCGAACGGACGGCACCUCCGCGUUCAGCACACGUACAGCUCGACGAUGAUCUCGGCCUUCUUGAUNNNNNNNNNNNNNNNNNNNNNNNNNNNNNNNNNNNNNNNNNNNNNNNNNNNNNNNNNNNNNNNNNNNNNNNNNNNNNNNNNNNNNNNNNNNNNNNNNNNNCCUGCUGAGAUUAGAUCACCACCAACCUCCGGAGCGCCGUCACGCUGCCGGAGAACUCAUCUACCUCUCCAUCUCUCUUGCUAGAUCAAGAAGGCCGAGAUCAUCGUCGAGCUGUACGUGUGCUGAACGCGGAGGUGCCGUCCGUUCGGCACUAGAUCGUGGGACUGAUCGUGGGACGGUUCGCGGGGCGGAUCGAGGGACGUGAGGAUGUUCCACUACAUCAACCGCGUUCACUAACGCUUCUGCUGUGCGGUCUUGAAGGGUACGUAGAUCGAACAUCCCCUCUCGUAGAUGGACAUCACCAUGAUAGGUCUUCGUGCGCGUAGGAAAUUUUUUGUUUCCCAUGCGACGUUCCCCAACAGUGGUAUCAGAGCUAGGUUCAUGCGUAGAUGUCUUCUCGAGUAGAACACAAAAGUUUUUGUGGGCGGUGAUGUGUGUUUUGCUGCCCUCCUUAGUCCUUUCUUGAUUCCGCGGUAUUGUUGGAUUGAAGCGGCUCGGACCGACAUUACUCGUACGCUUACGAGAGACUGGUUUCAUCGCUACGAGUAACUCCAUUGCUCAAGGAUGACUGGCGGGUGUCAGUUUCUCCAACUUUAGUUGAAUCGGAAUUGACCGAGGAGGUCCUUGGAUGAGGUUAAAUAGCAAUUCAUAUAUCUCCGUUGUGGUGUUUACGUAAGUAAGAUGCGAUCCUACUAGAUACCCAUGGUCACCACGUAAAACAUGCAACAACAAAAUUAGAGGACGUCUAACUUGUUUUUGCAGGGUAUGCUUGUGAUGUGAUAUGGCCAACGAUGUGAUGUGAUAUAUUGGAUGUAUGAGAUGAUCAUGUUGUAAUAGUUAAUAUCGACUUGCACGUCGAUGGUACGGCAACCGGCAGGAGCCAUAGGGUUGUCUUUAAACUAACGUUUGUGCUUGCAGAUGCGUUUACUAUAUUGCUAGGACGUAGCUUUAGUAGUAAUAGCAUGAGUAGCACGACAACCCCGAUGGCGACACGUUGAUGGAGAUCAUGAUGAUGGAGAUCAUGGUGUGACGCCGGUGACAAGAAGAUCGUGCUGGUGCUUUGGUGAUGGAGAUCAAGAAGCGCAUGAUGAUGGCCAUAUCAUGUCACUUAUGAAUUGCAUGUGAUGUUAAUCUUUUUUGCACCUUAUCUUGCUUAGAACGACGGUAGCAUUAUGAGGUGAUCUCUCACUAAAAUUUCAAGACGAAAUUGUGUUCUCCCCGACUGUGCGCCGUUGCGACAGUUCUUCGUUUCGAGACACCACGUGAUGAUCGGGUGUGAUAGACUCAACGUUCACACACAACGGGUGCAAAACAGUUGCACACGCAGAACACUCGGGUUAAGCUUGACGAGCCUAGCAUGUGCAGACAUGGCCUCGGAACACAUGAGAUCGAAAGGUCGAGCAUGAAUCGUAUAGUUGAUAUGAUUAGCAUAGAGAUGCUUACCACUGAAACUAUUCUCGACUCACGUGAUGAUCGGACUUGAGAUAGUGGAUUUGGAUCAUGUACCACUCAAAUGACUAGAGAGAUGUACUUUUUGAGUGGGAGUUCUUAAGUAAUAUGAUUAACUGAACUAAUUGUCAUGAACAUAGUCUAAUGGUAUUUGCGAAUUACGAUGUAGCUUGCGCUAUAGCUCUACUGUUUUUAUAUGUUCCUAGAGAAAAUUUAGUUGAAAGUUGAUAGUAGCAAACUUUGAAGAGGUUUGUCCUCAUUGCUGCGCAGAAGACUUAUGUCCUUAAUGCACCACUCGGUGUGCUGCACCUCGAGCGUCGUCUGCGGAUGCUGUGAACAUCCGACAUACACGUUUCUGAUGACUACACGAUAGUUCAGUGCAAAAUACUUAAUGGCUUAGAAGCAAGGCACCGAAGACGUUUUAAAACGUCACGGAACAUAAGUGAUGUUCUAAAGAGAUGAAAUUGUGAUUUCAUGCUCGUGCCCUUGUUGAGAGGUACGAGACCUCCGACAAGAUUCUUUGUCCACAAAGUAAAGGAGAAAAGCUCAAUCGUUGAGCGCGUGAUCAGAUUGUCUGAGUACGACAAUCACUUGAAUCAAGUGGGAGUUAAUCUUCCAGAUGAGAUAGUGAUGGUUCUCCAAAGUCACUGCCACCAAGCUGUGAGAACAUCAUGAUGAACUAUAACAUAUCAAGGAUAGAUACAAUGAUCCUUGAGCGAUUCGCAAUGUUUGACACUGCGAAAGUAGAAAUCAAGAAGGAGCAUCAAUAGUUGAUGGUUUGUAAAACCACUAAGUUUCAAGAAAGGCAAGGGCUAGAAGGGAUUCUUCGUGAAACGGCAAAACAGUUGUUGCACUGAUGAAGAGACCCAAGAUUAAACCCAAACCCGAGACUAAGUGCUUCUGUAAUGAGGGGAACAGUCACUGAGGCGGAGCAACUCUAGAUACUUGGUAGAUAAGAAGGCUGACAAAAGUCGAAAGAAGUAUAUUUGAUAUACAUGAUGUUGAUGUGUACUUUACUAGUACUCCUAGUAGCAUGAGGGUAUUGGAUACCGGUUCGGUUGCUAAGUGAUUAGUAACACGAAAUGAAAGCUACGGCAUAAACAGAGACUAGCUAAAGGCGAGGUGACGAUACGUGUUGGAAGUGUUUCCAAGGUUGAUAUGAUCAAACGUCGCACGCUCCCUCUACCAUCGGGAUUGGUGUUAAACCUAAAUAAUUGUUAUUUGGUGCUUGCGUUAAGCAUGAACAUGAUUGGAUGGUGUUUAUUGCAAUACGAUUAUUCAUUUAAAGAGAAUAAUGGUUACUCUAUUUUCUUGAAUAAUCACCUUCAAUGGUUUAUUGAAUCUCGAUCGUAGUGUUACACAUGUUCAUGAUAUUGGUGCCAAAAGAUACGAGGUAAUGAUGAUAGUACCACUUACUUGUGGCACUGCCGCUUGAGUCAUGUUGGUAUAAAUUGCAUGAAGAGGCUCCAUGUUGAUGGAUCUUUAUACUCACUUGAUUUUGAAUCACUAGUGACAUGCAAAUCAUACCACAUGAGCAAGGCCUUGUUUUCAUUGAGAUGAAAUAAGAUUGUAACUUGUUGGAAGUGAUACAUUUUGAUGUAUACAGUCCAAUCGGUGCUGAGGCACGCAGUGGAUAUCAUUAUGUUCUUACUUCAAUGACGAUUUGAGUAGAUACUAGAGUAUUUGCUUAAUGAAUCACAAGUCUGAAAUAUUGAAAAGUUCAAUUCUGUUUCGGAGUGAAGUUCGUCGUAACAAGAGGUUAAACUGUCUAUGAUAUGAUCAUAGAAAUGAAUAUCUGAGUUACGAGUUUUGGUACGCAGUUAAGACAAUGUGGAAAUUGUUUCGCAGUUCAUGCCACCUAGAACAUCAUAGUGUGAUGAUGUGUCUGAACGUCAUAGCCACACACUAUUUGGUAUGGUGCAUGGUAUGAUGUCUCUUAUUGAAUUACCACUAUCGUUUAUGGGUUAAGCAUUAGAGACAACCGCAUUCACUUUAAAUAGGGCACCAUGUAUUUCCGUUGAGAUGACACAGUAUAGACUGAGGUUCAGAGAAAUCUAAACUGUCGUUUCUUGAAAGUUUGGGGUUUCGACACUUAUGUGAAAAAGUUUCAGUCUGAUAAGCUCGAACCCAAAGCGGAUAAAUGCAUCUUCAUAGGAUAUCCAAAACAGUUGGGUACAUCUCCUAUCUCAGAUCCGAAAGCAAAGUGUUUGUUUCUAGAAACGGAUCCUUUCUCGAGGAAAGGUUUCUCUCGAAAGAAUUGAGUGGGAGGGUGGUAGAACUUGAUGAGGUUAUUGAAUCAUCACUUCGACCAGUGUGUAGCCGGGCGCAGGAAGUUGUUCCUGUGGCGCCUACACCAAUUGAAGUGAAAGCUGAUGAUGGUGAUCAUCGAGCAUCGGAUCAAGUUACUACAAGCCUUGUAGGUUGACAAGGUCGCGUACUACUACAGAGUGGUACGGUAACCCUGUCUUGGAGGUCAUGUUGUUGAGCAACAAUGAACCUACGAGAUAUGGAGAAAGCAAUGGUGGGCCCAGAUUCCGACAAAUGGCUGGAAGCCAUGAAAUCCGAGAGAGGAUCCAUGUAUGAAAACAAAGUGUAGACUUUGGAAGAACUACUUGAUGGUCAUAGGACUAUUGAGUAAGGAUGGAUCCUUAAAAGGAAGACAGACGAUGAUAGUGAUAAGUCACUAUUAAGAAAAGCUCGACUUGUCGCAAAGAUGUUUCCGACAAGAUCAAACAGUUGACUAUGAUGAGACUUUCUCACUCGUAGCGAUGCUAAAAGUCUGUUAGAAUUGUGUUAGUAGUUGCUGCAUUAUUUAUGAAAUAUUGCAUGUAGGAUGUCAAAACAUUGUUUCCUCGACGGUUUCCUUGAGCAAACAUUGUAUGAGAUACAACCAUGAGGUUUUGUCGAUCCUAAAGAUACUAGCAAGUAUGCAAGCUCCAGCGAUCCUUAAAUGGACUGGUGCAAGCAUCUCGGAGUUGGAAUAUACACUUUGAUGAGAUGAUCAAGGAUUUUGGGUUUGUACAAGGUUUAUGAGAAACUUGUAUUUCCAAAGAAGUGAGUGGGAGCACUAAAGAAUUUCUGAUAAGUAUAUGUGGUUGACAUAUUGUGGAUCAGAAGUAAUGUAGAAUUUCUGUAAAGCAUACAAGGUUGUUUGAAAGGAGUUUUCAAAGGAAUACCUGGAUUGAGCUACUUGAACGUUGAGCAUCAAAGAUCUAUGGAGAUAGAUCGAAAGCGCUUAAUGGAAGUUUCAACAAGAUGCAUGCCUUGACAAGUUUUGAAGGAGUUCAAAAUAGAUUAGCAAAGAAGGAGUUCUUGGUUGCGUUGUAAGGUGUGAAUUUGAGUAAGACUCAAAACCCGACCACGGCAGAAUAAAGAGAAUAGACGAAGGUCGUCUUCUAUGCCUUAGCCGUAGACUCUAAAGUAUGUCAUGCUGAGUACCGCACUUGAUGUGUGCCUUGUAGCAAGUCUGUUGAGAGGUACAGAGAGUGAUCCAUGAUCGAAUCACUAGCAGCGGUCAAAAUUUAUCCUUAGUAACUGAUGGACUAAGGAUUUUUUCUAGAUUAUGGAGGUGGUUAAAGAGUUCGUCGUAAAGGGUUACGUCGAUGUAAGCUUUGACACUAAUCCGAAUAACUAUGAGUAGUGAAACGGAUUCGUAUAGUAGAGUAGAUAUUUGGAGUAUUUCCGAAUAGCACAUAGUAGUAGCAUCUAUAAGAUGACAUAAAGAUUUUUAAAGAACACACGGAUCUGAAAAUUUCACAACCGUUGACUAAAACCUCUCUCAUGAGCAAGACGUGAUCAGACCCCAUAACUAUAUGGGUGUUGGAUUCGUUGGAAUCACAUGGUGAUGUGAACUAGAUUAUUGACUCUAGUGCAAGUGGGAGACUGUUGGAAAUAUGCCCUAGAGGCAAUAAUAAAUUAGUUAUUAUUAUAUUUCUUUGUUCAUGAUAAUUGUUUAUUAUCCAUGCUAUAAUUUUAUUGAUUGGAAACACAAUACUUGUGUGGAUACAUAGACAAAACACUGUCCCUAGUAAGCCUCUAGUUGACUAGCUCGUUGAUCAAAGAUGGCCAAGGUUUCCUGGCCAUAGGCAAGUGUUGUUACUUGAUAACGCGAUCACAUCAUUAGCAGAAUCAUGUGAUGGACUAGACCCAAACUAAUAGACGUAGCAUGUUGAUCGUGUCAUUUUGUUGCUACUGUUUUCUACGUGUCAAGUAUUUGUUCCUAUGACCAUGAGAUCAUAUAACUCACUAACACCGGAGGAAUGCUUUGUGUGUAUCAAACGUCGCAACGUAACUGGGUGACUAUAAGGAUGCUCUACAGGUAUCUCCGAAGGUGUUAGUUGAGUUAGUAUGGAUCGAGACUGGGAUUUGUCACUCCGUGUGACGCAGAGGUAUCUCGGGGCCCACUCGGUAAUACAACAUCACACACAAGCCUUGCAAGCAAUGUGACUUAGUGUAAGUUGCGGGAUCUUGUAUUAUGGAAUGAGUAAAGAGACUUGCCGGUAAACGAGAUUGAAAUUGGUAUGCGGAUAGUGACGACCGAAUCUCGGGCAAGUAACAUACCGAAGGAUAAAGGGAAUGACAUACGGGAUUAUAUGAAUCCUUGGCACUGAGGUUCAAACGAUAAGAUCUUCGUAGAAUNNNNNNNNNNNNNNNNNNNNNNNNNNNNNNNNNNNNNNNNNNNNNNNNNNNNNNNNNNNNNNNNNNNNNNNNNNNNNNNNNNNNNNNNNNNNNNNNNNNNGGGGUCAGUGGCGUCGGAGGUCGAUGGUCGGGGGUCAGUGGCGUCGGGCGUCAGGGGUCGGGGGUCGAGGGUCAGUUUCGGGGUGCCGGGGUUCCCUUUUCCUCUUCUUUCUUCUUCUCCUCUCUCCUCUUUUUCUUCUUCUUCUUCUUCUUCUUCUUCUUCUUUUUUCUCCUCCUACUCCCCCUCCUCUUUUUCUCCGUCUAUUCUUUUUCUUCUUCUUCUUCUUCUUCUUCUUCUUCUUCUUCUUCUUCUUCUUCUUCUUUCUCCUCCUCUUUCUCCUCCUCCUCCUCUCCUCUUCUUCUUCUUCUUCUUCUUCUUCUUCUUUCUCUCCUCCUCCUCCUCUUCUUCUUCUUCUUCUUCUUCUUCUCCUGCUUUUUUUCCUUCUGCUUUUUUUCUUCUAACCUAACUAACUAACCUAAUUAGCCUAAUAAUCUAACCAAAUAAACUAACUAAAUUACCCUAUAUAUAAUAAAAAACUAACCUAAUAAACUAACUAAAGUAAUUAACUUUUAAAAAAAGAAAAACAGGAAAAACUCACCGGCAGGGGGCGGCGGCAGGGGGCGCGCGGCUGGGGGCUCGCCGCANNNNNNNNNNNNNNNNNNNNNNNNNNNNNNNNNNNNNNNNNNNNNNNNNNNNNNNNNNNNNNNNNNNNNNNNNNNNNNNNNNNNNNNNNNNNNNNNNNNNGGAAUCCAGCAUGUAACACAUUGCAUCCCUUUGUGGUCUCACGCACGGUUAACUCCACGGCUGCAGCCUUACCUUAGCCGGGACCGUUUGCGUCUUUUGACUCACGUAUGCAAUAGUGUCGCUAACAUUCCAAUGUCAAAGAACCCGGAUCGACAAGUCUAGUCAUAAACCAAAGUGGCAGCACUGCACAAGGACAGGCAUACAUGACCCAACAAAGCAGGUGUCGGUCACCAGCGAGUGUAGACGAGUCGUAGCAAGCUACCAGGAAUCCAUUACAUCGCGUGACAUUUCCCCAAAGGGGACAGACACAACAGCUAAGAAGGACACAUGCCGGUCAACCAAUGUGUCCGGAGCAGUAGCGAGCUACCAUGGCUCGUUGNNNNNNNNNNCUCCAUUACAUCGCGUGACAUUUCCCCAAAGGGGACAGACACAUCAGCUAAGAAGGACACAUGUCGGUCAACCAAUGUGUCCGGAGCAGUAGCGAGCUACCAUGGCUCGUUGGAUCACAAAGGGGCAUUUCCCUGUAAGGAGUGCUACUAAAAUUCACGACUAGGUAAUCGAACCCCAUACAUGUCAAGUACGACACACGUACACAUGGCAUACCGAUAUGUAUAGAUACAUCGAUGGCAUCACAACAUAACCAUAACAUACAAGCUUUAUUUAAGAGGCUCAGAAGAGCCGCACAUAUAAUAUUGCACAGUGAGGGUCUCACGACCCAUAAUAGCAGUCAUUCAGUUACAAGCCAGCGGAAGUGUCUAAAACUGUCUGAGUACAAACAGGUGCAACUAAAAGGCACAUGGCCUGACUAUAUUACAGACCCAACCUAGGGCCAGAUCGUNNNNNNNNNNNNNNNNNNNNNNNNNNNNNNNNNNNNNNNNNNNNNNNNNNNNNNNNNNNNNNNNNNNNNNNNNNNNNNNNNNNNNNNNNNNNNNNNNNNNUUGCAUAAUCUGCCCGGGGGGGGGGAGAUUGAGUGGAAUGACAAAUACAGGCCAACAACUGUAUUGGGUUGUCGUCAUGCCGAAGGGAUUAAAACCAUCCGUGGCAGCGCAGACUCGAGGAUUCCUUGGAUCUGCCGCUUUAUCCUGAUGCAAUCCAUCAAAAUGUUUCCACGCUUCCCCAUCCGAUGUGUGUACCAUCAUCUAAUUCCCAUCCGCAUCUAGUUCGGUUCUUUUGCCCAAUUUGUGCCAUGUCAUCUGUCUGGCUGUCUCUUCGACCAUGAAAAGGCGUUGAAGUCUUGGUACGAUUGGCAUAUACCGAAGAACACUAACUGCGAUUUUGGUGUGCCUCUUCUCACCCAUACCAUUGUCUACCACAAGAUACCUGCAAGACUCGCAAUUGGGACAAUAGUCCAAGUGUGCGUACUCCUUCCUAAAUAAGACACAUCCUUUCUCACAUGCAUCUAUCUUCUCAUAGGGCAUCUUAAGUACACAAAGUAUUUUUUCCGACUGGUACAGGUUUGCAGGCAUGACAUGGCCUUUGGGUAGGAAACGUCCAAAUAGUGUCAUCAUCGCGUCGUAGCAUUCUCUUCCCAAGUUGAACUGAGCCUUCAGAGCCAUUACUUGUGCAAUUGCAUCCAGCUGACAGAGCUCAGUGUGCUCAUGGAGAGGACAUUUUGAAGACUCCAACAUUUCAUAAAAGGCCAUUGCAGAUUCCUCCAUCUCAUCUUCCGAAUCCCGAGCAUCAUCAAAGUCUUGCACCAUGUCUUCGAUCCCGGUACCAUGCUCGUCCGUGCGACGACGGACCACCUCAGCUCUUGUGCGUUGUAUAGACUCACCAUGAAAUGUCCACACCGUAUAAUUAGGCUUAAAACCCCUCCUCUGCAGGUGGUUAAUCAUUACAGCCUCUGUCGUCUUUUUAUAGUUGUCGCAUCCAGGACAGGGGCAAUAGUUUCUUUCCUGGCCAUUUGCGAAUGCGUCUUUCACAAAUUCCUUUGUUUUUACAAACCAUUCUUUCGUCAUCUCUUUCUGACUAGGGUGACCGGUAUACAUCCACGCACGAUCACUCAUCUUGCGUAGCUACUAAAGACAGAAGAAAUAUAUUUAUAUAUAAUUUAGCAUUUAUAUUCAUCGGUUAAUCAGGUUUGCCAUUUUUAUUACGUCCAGGCAACCUACACGCUAAUAGGUAAAGAUAGGUCCUAAUCCCACCCGAGUAUGUGUAGACUGGGUUCGUUUUCCCAUGCUCUGCUCCGGAUCCAACGCAAAAUUUCGGCAGCACCUCCCCGCUGUUCUCCUGAUACACGUCUCCGCAAUAAACAGAGAGGAUGUGCAUCCGGAGAACAACGGGGGAGGCACUGACGAAAUUCCGCAUCGGAUCCAGAGCACAGCAUACGGGAAAACGAACCCAAUCUACACAUACUCGGGCUGUCCAUGGAUAAUGUUGCACAAUUCGAAAGGAUGGCGGUUAUAAAUAUGCAAAGACAUGCAUAUUUAUAGAUGUCGCCCUUUCGAACGGGAGACGCAUACUGGUCACGCAUACUCAUGAUUGAAGAAACCUAUAUAUAUAGAUAGCUAGUUUCAUCGGCACGAAGACCGUAAUAGAGCAAAUUAAGGGGGUAGGAGGAGAAGUCAUUUGUGCUCACCAACAAACGCAAGGGCGGAGCUCGUCCAACGCACGUGGAGGUCAUCGAACAACUGCACAUUGAAAUUCACCCGAUCAACACAAAUACGAUGUUUUUAUAAUUAACAUGAUCGGGAAAUAUGUGACCUAACUCAUAAUUUACAAAACUAUGACCCCGUGGGCCUCUGGAAGGCCGAAAAGCAACUUCUCGUUCAAAAGAAGGCAGAAGAGGUGUCGGGGGUCGGCGCUUAGUGGCGUCGGGAGUCAGUGCCGUCGAGGGUCGGUGGCAUCGGGGGUCGGGGGGUUAGUGGCGUCGGUUGUGGGGGGUCAGUGGCGUCGGGGGUCCNNNNNNNNNNNNNNNNNNNNNNNNNNNNNNNNNNNNNNNNNNNNNNNNNNNNNNNNNNNNNNNNNNNNNNNNNNNNNNNNNNNNNNNNNNNNNNNNNNNNAAAUGGGCUAAUUAUGUCAUUGUUGGGGAAAUUAAAGCAAGGAUAAUAAGAAAGAGGAGAAGAAAGAGGAGGAGGAGGAUAAGAAGAAGAAAUCAAGAAGAAGGAGGAGAAGGAGGAGGAGGAGAAGGACUAGAAGGUCCUUGGCCUUCUCCUCCUUCUCCUCCUCCUCCUCCUCCUCCUCCUCCUCCUCCUUCUCCUCCUUCUCCUUCUUCUCUUCUUCUUCUUCUUCUUCUUCUUCUUCUUUCUUUUCAUUUUUCCUAUUUCUUCUCCUCUUCUUGGAGCUAAAUUACCUAAUUAUGUCUUUUUGGAGCUAAAUGGGCUAAUCAUCCCAUUUUAGAGGAAAACAAGCUAAGUAUAAUAUUCAUGAGCUAACCAAGGUUCUUAUGCCAUUUUGAGGUUAUUAUGGCAUUUUGGAGCUAAAUGGGCUAAUUAUGUCUUUUUGAGGAAAUUAAAGCAAGGAUAAUAUGAAAGAGGAGAAGAGAAACUUACCGUAGUGGUCAUCAAGGAGGAGAAACACCACGGUUGCUCGCGGCGGCUUCGUUUGGAGACGGUUGCCCUGGAGAAGGGUCGUGCGAUGCCGCCCGGGAGUUAUUCUGUAGAAAAGAUAUUUUGCAAUGUCUUAGUUAGCAUGAUGACACUCAAUUAUUAAUAAUAGUUUAUAAUGAAACUCACCGUGCCAAUCGAAGAGAAGACGGGCAUCGGUGGAGGGACUUGACCGCUCUUCUCGCACAGACCCUGAAGUGUGGGUCGUAUUAGUUAGUAAUGAAACAGACAUUACACACAUGAUUUGGCUAAUGUGAAAAAAACAUACCACAAAAAGCUUGUACAGGGCCCGUUGACCCGCCUCAUUCCGGGCCCUCUCCUCCUCAAGCAAUCGUGUCGUGGUCUGGUCCCUCUCAUCAAGAGCAGCUUGAAGAGCAGCCUGGCUUGCCAAUCUAUCUUUCUCAAGAGCAGCCUGGUUUGCCGCUCUCUCUUUCUGAAGAGCAGCCUGAAACACCAUUCCUCGUUACCACACUAAUGAUCUAUGGUGACACACAUAAUGAAAUGGAUGAAAGUGUUCUUAGUCCGUACAACUAACCUCGAUGGCAAGUUCGACUGGCCGUGGACGACGCGUUAUCUCAGGACAGCUGCUCGACUGGCGCGCCUUGAUCUCCGGAAGAGUGAGUGGACAACGUAUUAUCCCAUCUCCAAUGGCUAUCGAGCCAUGGGGCCUCCCGCCACGAGAUAUCAUCACCAGCUCUGGAUCCAAAGGUUCCUAGCUAGGGUUAAAGUCACCCCCUUUCGUAGCCUUCCCGCGUCCCUGUAUGCCACGAGCUUCUGGUGGGAUGAUAUGUUGGUGAAGUUACUGGGAUCAUCCCGGUCAGACUCAGAGAAUGCCUUCGCCUUCUUGUACGAGGCAGUAUGGGCCAUGCCAUAAAGGUCGUACAAGUGUGGCAUCUCAGUCUUAUUGUGAUGCGCCUAAAAGAGAGGAACAAAAUAUUAGCAUCAAGAAUGAAUUGCAUGAAUCAUGAAGCAAAUCACAUACCCAGUUUCAUCCAAACUGAAGUAAGUUGGCGCUGCCUUGAUGGUGUGGCACACCAACCAUUUGGCUACACCGAUCCUUCGCAUUCUCGUGGACGGCUCGCCAGCUGCCUGUGCACCACUCAUCAACCAACGCCUCCCAACAAUCCAUCUUAUCCGCACACCAUCUCGGGGGCACCUGUAAGUUAUUAGAAAGAAUUUUCAGCGCUACGNNNNNNNNNNNNNNNNNNNNNNNNNNNNNNNNNNNNNNNNNNNNNNNNNNNNNNNNNNNNNNNNNNNNNNNNNNNNNNNNNNNNNNNNNNNNNNNNNNNNUUGGUCGAGUAGGGAAGAAGGGGAAGGGUACAGGGAGAGGUGGUGGUCGCGGAAGAUCCAGGAGGAUUGUUGAGCCGUCCUCGCCACCACCACCAGCUCAUUGACCCGAGCAUAGGACUAGUAUGGUCGACCCAUUUGCGGAGGAGGCUACGGGGACUCCGUUCUAGGAGCCUGUUGUUGACAGGCAUUCGUCCCAUGAGACUCCGGUCCAGGAGCAGCCUCGGGUCGAGGUGCAUUCGGCCCAGGAGCAGCCGGAGGAGACUACGGUUCCGGAGGCUUCACCCGACAUGGAGAGGCCCGGAUGGGAGACCUGGUCAGAUCGUACUGAAUUGCCGGAUUGGACCGAGGGUCCGGGUGGCUCAGGGGGCGGGGAUGAGCUUACGGAUAGUGAGGGCGAUGUGCAGGUGGACGGGGCCACCGUGUACAAGCGUGGUAGUACACGUCUCCUGGUCGCCUCGGCUACCCGCGAGCAGAGGCCGGUGAUUAAACCUGAAGGAGAUAGGUAAGUACAUUUACCCUUUNNNNNNNNNNAGGCCACCGUGUACAAGCGUGGUAGUACACGUCUCCUGGUCGCCCCGGCUACCCGCGAGCAAAGGCCGGUGAUUAAACCUGAAGGAGAUAGGUAAGUACAUUUACCCUUUUUUNNNNNNNNNNNNNNNNNNNNNNNNNNNNNNNNNNNNNNNNNNNNNNNNNNNNNNNNNNNNNNNNNNNNNNNNNNNNNNNNNNNNNNNNNNNNNNNNNNNNAGGCGGCGGCAGCCCUAGAUGGGGCUGGUGCGGCGGCCAAGGGGGGAGAAGGGGUGUGGCGCACCCCUGGUGGGCCUUAGGCCCACCUGGCUUAGGGUUUGCCCCCCUUUUUCUCUCCCCCACGCAUUGGGCUGAGUGGGGAGGCGCACCAGCCCACCUAGGGGCUGGUUCCCUUCCCCACUUGGCCCACCUUACCUUCCGGGGUCGUUGCCCCCCUUCGGUGGACCCCCGGGGCCACCUCUGGUGGUCCCGGUGGUCCCGGUACGUUACCGGUGAUGCCCGAAACACUUCCAGUAUCCGAAACCAUCCGUCCUAUAUAUCAAUCUUUACCUCCGGACCAUUAUGGAGCUCCUCGUGACGUCCGGGAUCUCAUCCGGGACUCCGAACAACUUUCGGUAACCUCGUAUAACAAUUCCCUAUAACCCUAGCGUCACCGAACCUUAAGUGUGUAGACCCUAUGGGUUCGGGAGACAGGGAGACAUGACUGAGACGCCUCUCCGGCCAAUAACCAUCAGCGGGGUCUGGAAACCCAUGGUGGCUCCCACUUGCUCCACGAUGAUCUCAUCGGAUGAACCACGAUGUCAAGGAUUCAAUUAANNNNNNNNNNUCGUAUACGAUUCCCUUUGUCUGUCGGUAUAGAACUUGCCCGAGAUUCGAUCGUCGGUAUACCUAUACCUUGUUAAAUCUCGUUACCGGUAAGUCUCUUUACUCGUUCCUAGCACAUCAUCGUGUGACUAACUCCUUAGUCACAUUGAGCUCAUGAUGAUGUUCUACCGAGUGGGCCCAGAGAUACCUCUCCGUCACACGGAGUGACAAAUCCUGAUCUCGAUUCGUACCAACCCAACAGACACUUUCGGAGGUACCCGUAGUGCACCUUUAUAGUCACCCAGUUACGUUGUGACGUUUGAUACACCCAAAGCACUCCUACGGUAUCCGGGAGUUGCACAACCGCACGGUCGAAGGAAAAUAUACUUGACAUUAGAAAAGCUUUAGCAUACGAACAAUACGAUCUAGUGCUAUGCUUAGGAUUGGGUCUUGUCCAUCACAUCAUUCUCCCAAUGAUGUGAUCCCGUUAUCAAUGACAUCUAAUGCCCAUGAUCAGGAAACCAUGAUCAUCUAUUGACUAACGAGCUAGCCAACUAGAGGUUGUAUUACUGUUUCGUGUUAAUACAAUUAUUGCAUGAACAAUAGAUGAUUAUCAUGAACAAGGAAAUAUGAUAAUAACCAUUUUAUUAUUGCCUCUUGGGCAUAUUUCCAACAGUCUCCCACUUGCACUAGAGUCAAUAAUCUAGUUACAUUGUGAUGUAUCGAACACCCAUAGCAUUAUGGUGUUGAUCAUGUUUUGCUCGUGGAAGAAGUUUAGUCAACGGGUCUGCAAUAUUCAGAUCCGUGUGUACUUUACAAAUAUCAAUCACUCCACUCUGGACAUGGUCCUAGAUGGAGUUGUAGCGGCGUUUGAUGUGCUUCGUCUUCCGGUGAAACCUGGGCUCCUUGGCUAUGGCAAUGGCCCCAAUGUUAUCACAGAAGAGUGUCAUUGGACCCGACGCGCUUGGAACCACUCCAAGGUUGGUGAUGAGCUCCUUCAUCCAAAUUCCUUCAUGAGCUGCUUCUCAAGAAGCUAUGUACUCCGCUUCACAUGUAGAUGCUGCCACGACUUCUUGCUUGCUGCUGCACCAGCUCACUGCCCCACCAUUCAACACAUAUACGUAUCCGGUCUGUGACUUAGAGUCAUCCGGAUAUGUGUCGAAGCUAGCGUCGACGUAACCCUUUACGACGAGCUCUUCGUCACCUCCAUAAACGAGAAACAUUUCCUUAGUCCUUUUCACGUACUUAAGGAUAUUCUUGACCGCUGUCCAGUGUUCCAUACCGGGAUCACUUUGGUACCUCCCUACCAAACUUAUGGCAAGGUUUAUAUCAGGUCUGGUACACAGCAUGGCAUACAUUAGAGAGCCCACGGCUGAAGCGUAGGGGACAGAACUCAUCUUCUCUCUAUUUGCUGCCGUGGUCGGUGACUGAGUCUUACUCAAUCUCAUACCUUGCAAAGCUGGCAAGAACUCUUUCUUUGUGUUUUCCAUAUUGAACUUCUUCAAUAUCUUGUCAAGGUAUGUACUUUGUGAAAGACCUAUGAGGCGUCUUGAUCUAUCUCUAUAGAUCUUGAUGCCUAAUAUGUAUGCAGCUUCUCCAAGGUCCUUCAUUGAAAAACUUUUGUUCAAAUAGGCCUUUAUGCUCUCCAACAUCUCAAUAUUAUUCCCCAUCAAUAAUAUGUCAUCCACAUACAGUAUGAGGAAAGCUACAGAGCUCCCACUCACUUUCUUGUACAAACAGGCUUCUCCGUAAACCUAUAUGAACACAAACGCUUUAAUCACCUCAUUAAAGUGAAUGUUCCAACUCCGAGAUGCACACUUUGUUAGCACCCUUAGGGUCGACAAAACCUUCUGGUUGCAUCAUAUACAACUCUUCCUUAAGGUUCCCGUUAAGGAAGCUGUUUUGACGUCCAUUUGCCAAAUUUCAUAAUCAUAAAAGGCGGCAAUUGCUAACAUGAUUCGGACUGAUUUCAGCUUCGCUACGGGAGAGAAAGUCUCUUCGUAGUCAACUCCUUGAAUUUGUCGAAAACCCUUUGCGACAAGUCGAGCUUUGUAAACGGUUACAUUACCGUUUGCAUCAGUAUUCUUCUUGAAUAUCCAUUUAUUUCUAUGGCUCGCCGGUCAUCGGGCAAGUCCACCAAAGUCCAUACUUUGUUCUCAUACAUGGAUCCUAUCUCAGAUUUCAUAGCCUCAAGCCAUUUGUUGGAAUNNNNNNNNNNNNNNNNNNNNNNNNNNNNNNNNNNNNNNNNNNNNNNNNNNNNNNNNNNNNNNNNNNNNNNNNNNNNNNNNNNNNNNNNNNNNNNNNNNNNGAGAAGAGGAGAAGAAAUAGGCAAAAUGAAAAGAAAGAAGAAGAAGCACAAGAAGAAGAAGAAGAAGAAGAGAAGAAGGAUAAGGAGGAGGAGGAGGAGGAGGAGAAGGAGAAGGCCAAGGACCUUCUAGUCCUUCUCCUCCUCCCCCUUCUCCUCCUUCUCCUCCUUCUUCUUGAUUUCUUCUUCUCCUCCUCCUCCUCCUAUUUCUUCUCCUCUUUCAUAUUAUCCUUGCUUUAAUUUCCCCAAAAAUGACAUAAUUAGCCCAUUUUGCUCCAAAAUACCAUAAUAAGCUCAAAAUGGCUUAAGAACCUUGGUUAGCUCAUGAAUAUUAUAUACUUAGCUUGUUUUCCNNNNNNNNNNNNNNNNNNNNNNNNNNNNNNNNNNNNNNNNNNNNNNNNNNNNNNNNNNNNNNNNNNNNNNNNNNNNNNNNNNNNNNNNNNNNNNNNNNNNNNNNNNNNNNNNNNNNNNNNNNNNNNNNNNNNNNGUUAGGUAAUUUAGCUCCAACAAGAGGAGAAGAAAUAGGCAAAAUGAAAAGAAAGAAGAAGAAGAAGAAGAAGAAGAGAAGAAGGAGAAGGAGGAGGAGGAGAAGGCCAAGGACCUUCUAGUCCUUCUCCUCCUCCUCCUCCUCCUCCUCCUUCUCCUCCUUCUCCUCUUUCUUCUUGAUUUCUUCUUCUUCUCCUCCUCCUCCUCUUUCUUCUCCUCUUUCAUAUUAUNNNNNNNNNNNNNNNNNNNNNNNNNNNNNNNNNNNNNNNNNNNNNNNNNNNNNNNNNNNNNNNNNNNNNNNNNNNNNNNNNNNNNNNNNNNNNNNNNNNNGUUUAGUAAAGGAGAAAAGGAGAAGAAGAAGAAGGAGAAAGGAGAAGAAGAAUAAGGAGAAAGGAGAAGAAGAAGAAGGAGAAAGAAGAAGAAGAAGAAGGAGAAAGGAGAAGAAAAAAAUAAGAAGAAGAAGGAAAAGAAGAAGGGGAGAAUUGAUUAUCACCCCCCCUGUUCGUGCGCCACCACAACAUAAGCCCCCCUGUUUUCCUGGCUCCCUUUUAACCCCCGGUUUUCACCAUGCUGUAGCUGAUGCCAUCCUUUGCAAUGUUUAACAGAUUAGUCAAUGGAUAAAUAACAAAUGGGUACAUCAAUAGACAAAACUAGUUCACAGUUCACUUAAUUUCUUCUUCUUUGGAGUCAUCUUCUUCUUCUUUCCUUUUGCUGGAGACUUUUUUGGUGUAGCAGCAGCAAAAGUAGUUCAUGGCAGCACAAACGAGUUCACAGUUCACUUAAUUUCUUCUUCUUUGGAGUCAUCUUCUUCUUCUUUCCUUUUGUUGGAGACUUUGUUGGUGUAGCAGCAAUGGGGCGGCUAGGGAAGGGAAGAGGCUUGCCUUACCUUGGAGCAGCAAUGGAGAUGGGGCGGCUGGGGCAGCUGCGGCGGAGGCGAGGCGCAGCAGCGCUUGGGGCGGCUUGGUCAGGGAGAGGAACGAGCAGAGAACAGGAGCAGCUUCUGCCCAGCUCGUGUGACUUAUACUAGAUGAGGGAGUGCAGUUUUGUCAUUUCAGAAAAUAAUUAGACUAGUUUGUGCUAUUAUUUGCUUAAUGUAGAGCUAAUCAACUCAAAGGGGGCCAUUAUCAACAUCGUUAGCACAACUGGGGGUUAAAAGGGAGCCAGGCAAACAGGGGGGCUUAUGUUGUGCUGGCGCACGAACAGGGGGGGUUAAAAGGAAAAGGAAGGGAAGGAGAAGAAAGAAGAAGAAGGAAAAGAAGGAAAAGGAAGGGAAGGAGAAGAAGAAGAAGAAGAAGAAGAAGAAGAAGAAGAAGAAGAAGAAAANNNNNNNNNNUAGGAGAGGAAGAGAAGAAUAAGAGGAAAAAAGAAAAUAAUAAUAAUAAUAAUAAUAAUAAUAAUAAUAAUAAUAAUAAUAAUAAGAAGAAGAAGAAGAAGAAGAAGAAGAAGAGAAGAAAACAAGAAGAAGGAGAAGAAGAAUAAGAGGAAAAAAGAAAAAAGAAAAUAAGAAUAAUAAUAAUAAUAAUAAUAAUAAUAAUAAGAAGAAGAAGAAGAAGAAGAAGAAGAAGAAGAAGAAGACAAGAAGAAAAGAAGAAGAAGGAGAAGAAUAAUAAUAGGAAAAAAGAAAAAAGAAAAUAAGAAGAAGAAGAAGAAGAAGAAGAAGAAGAAGAAGAAGAAGAAGAAGNNNNNNNNNNNNNNNNNNNNNNNNNNNNNNNNNNNNNNNNNNNNNNNNNNNNNNNNNNNNNNNNNNNNNNNNNNNNNNNNNNNNNNNNNNNNNNNNNNNNUUAUAUCCAGAAUUUUUAACAAUAAUCAGGAUAUAUAUAUAUAUAUAUUUUACAUAAAUAAAUUUCUUUCCGUACUCAUAACCAUAUUAAAAUAACUCUCAUCCAUAGUGCAUACAUAUUAUGGAAGUUACAUCCGUACCAAACCAUAUAUUACACCAGUUUCAUCCACGUGCAUACAAAGUUUCAUAUAUUCAUAUACUACAAUAGUUUCAAUACAACCCAUGGUACAAGAAAUAAUCUUCAAGCAUUCCAUCAACCAAGCUUCCCGUGAAGUGAAGGUAAUCUGCAAAAUGACAAAUAAGAAAGUUAGAAAAAUAAUACUAGAUGAAGUAGUGUAUAUAUAGGUUAUUUCGGAGAGAAAUUAGCUAAGUAUAGACCAUUUAGGAGCUAACUAAGCUAAUUAUGUCAUUUAGGUGGAACCCUAGCUAACUAUAGGAGAAGAGAAAGAGAAGAAGAAGUAAAAUAAGGAGGAGGAGGAGGAGAAGGAGAAGGAAGAGGAGAAGAAGAAGAAAAAGGAGGAGGAGGAGGAGGAGGAGAAGGAGAAGGAAGAGGAGAAGAAGAAGAAGGAGAAGAAGGAGAAGAAGAAGGAGAAGGAGGAGAAGAAGAAGGAGAAGGAGCGGGAGCUCCUUCUUCUUCUCCUUCUUCUCCUUCUUCUUCUCCUUCUUCUCCUUCUUCUUCUUAUCCUUUUGUCCCCUUCUUCUUCUCCUCCUCCCUCUCCUCCUUCUUCUUCUCCUUUUUCCNNNNNNNNNNGAGAAGGAGGAAGAAGGAGGAAGAAGAAGGGGAAGGAGGAGCUCCUUCUCCUUCUCCUCCUUCUCCUUCUUCUUCUCCUCCUCCCUCUCCUCCUUCUUCUUCUCCUUUUUCCNNNNNNNNNNAGAAGGAGAAGGAGAAGGAGGAAGAAGGAGGAAUAAGAAGGGGAAGGAGGAGCUCCUUCUCCUUCUCCUCCUUCUUCUCCUUCUUCUUCUCCUCCUGCCUCUCCUCCUUCUUCUUCUCCUUUUUCCUCUUCCUUCCUUUCAUUUUCCUCUUUUUCUCUUCUGGUCCCCUUCUUCGGGCUAAAUUGGCUAAGAAUGCCUUUUUGGAGCUAAUUAUGUCAUUUCGAGGAUAAUUAGCUAAGUAUAGGUCUUUUUUUAUUAAAUAGGACAUUUUGGAGCUAACUAAGCUAAUUAUGUCAUUUCGUAGGACAAUUGGCUAAUUUAGCCUUUCUUGGAUGAGUCUAAGCUACGUAGAAGAAGAGAUAGAGAAGAAGAAGUAAAAUAAGGAGGAGGAGGAGGAGGAGGAGGAGGAGGAUAAGAAGGAAGAGGAGAAGAAGAAGAAAAGAAGAAGGAGAAGGAGAAGANNNNNNNNNNNNNNNNNNNNNNNNNNNNNNNNNNNNNNNNNNNNNNNNNNNNNNNNNNNNNNNNNNNNNNNNNNNNNNNNNNNNNNNNNNNNNNNNNNNNNNNNNNNNNNNNNNNNNNNNNNNNNGCUCCUUCUCCUUCUCCUCCUUCUUCUCCUUCUUCUCCUUCUUCUUCUCCUCCUCCCUCUCCUCCUUCUUCUCCUCAUUUUUCCUCUUCCCUCCUUUCAUUUUUCCUCUUUUUCUCUUCUUGUCCCCUUCUUCGGGCUAAAUUGGCUAAGAAUGCCUUUUUGGAGCUAANNNNNNNNNNNNNNNNNNNNNNNNNNNNNNNNNNNNNNNNNNNNNNNNNNNNNNNNNNNNNNNNNNNNNNNNNNNNNNNNNNNNNNNNNNNNNNNNNNNNAAUGACGUGAUCCAGUUAUCAAGCAACAACACCUUGUUCAUAAUCAGAAGACACUGACUAUCAUCGAUCAACUGGCUAGCCAACUAGAGGCAUGCUAGGGACGGUGUUUUGUCUAUGUAUCCACACAUGUAAAUGAGUCUUCAUUCAAUACAAUUAUAGCAUGGAUAAUAAACUAUUAUCUUGAUACAGGAAUUAUAAUAAUAACUAUACAUUUAUUAUUGCCUCUAGGGCAUAAUUCCAACAGUUGUAACACGGCUACCUCAAGACUUUGAAUGUGGUGCCAUGGUCGGGGUUGAUGCACUCUAGCAAGGUAAGCAUCAUGGCCCCAUUGGGACUAUGAGAACAACCGAGCAAGGUGUGGGUCAUCAAGCACGAAUGGAGUGUUAUCAAUGCUGGAGCAUUAAACUAGCAAUGAACAGUUCUACUUUUAUAUUGAACCAAGCUUGGGGGUUGGUGUUGGACAGAAUGUGGUAUUGCAAAAGUUUUUCGAUGAAUUUAACUCAAACAAUAAUCUGUUUAGUACUAGACUACAGUUGUGACACCCUCGAUUUAAUCGUAUGCUAAUCAUGCACGCAAAUGCGUACGAUCAAACUCAAGGACUCACGGAAAGAUAUCAAAACACAACUCUAGACACAAAUAAAACAUACAAGCUUCAUAUUA